UUUUUUUUUUUUUGGCAUCUAGCUUUUUAUGAAAACAUUAUAAUCAUCAUAUCUGGAUAAGGUGACUCUGAUGAGUUUAUGUAUCUUUUGAAUUCAAAAAUUUUUUCGUUAAAUAUGUAUUCAGAUUUUAAAAAGCUUUUUUUUUUAAAUCGUAAAAUUAGAAAGUAUAUGUUAAAUUUGAAAUGAUGACUCCUAUUUUGGAACAUCAAUAAAAUGAAAACAUAACAUUUAUAAUGAGAUAGAGGGAAUAUUUAGAGAUAAAAAAAGGUCCGUUCUGAAUUUGUGAAGGAUUAAGAUACAUUAUUAUUUUGCACGCGAGGGGUCAGAAUUUGACAUUAGUAAAAUGUGAGGGACGAUUGGUGUUGUUGUCCCUUAGUAAUAAUUGGUUUGAGAUAUAGAAAUUGCAAAAUUUUCACUUCACAUGGGAGCGAUGAGCAGAUUUUACACAAAUGGGUUUUUUUUUUUUUUACCGUGUUUUAUUCUUUUUUUAACAUUCCAUGACAAAUUCCUUAAUUUAAUUUUUUUUAAAAAAAUUUGGCCGGAUAAUUGCUGUGCAUAAUUCUUGUGUUAGUGUGUACACAUUUGUUACGACGUUCAUAUCUACCAAUGUUGUAAAUAUUUCUAUAAUUUUGUCGUGCUUUCCAACCUAAAUCUAGCACCGCACUUUUAAUAACCUAAUGCAUAAUACCUCUUUAAAGUUGCCAGAAAUUUUCUGGGAAACAUCUUGCUCUAUGUUGGAACCAUAACGGUUGCAGUAGGCUUGCUUGAUUGAAGAAAGUUGGCUAGAAGAUCGAGUGCACAGUGACUCAAUCACAACAUUGAGGUUCACCUUAUUCCCUCCAAACAAUGAAUCCCUCAUCAGCUCUGCAUCACGCUCUUGUGGCUCGUUUAUGCGAAGAUAAACCAUAUUCUGCAAUUUAUAAAUAGACAAAAAAAAAAGAUCGAAGAAUAAAACAUGGCAUAUACAAUAUCAUUAGCUACCAUUAGUAAUUUGUACCAGGGAAGAUUCUUACAGCAAAAGCAUCGUUUCUUCGAACGUUAGAUAAAGCAUGAAGAAUAUCUUGGUUAUAGACAGCUGAAUACGUUUGCCGAAUAAGUUCCAUUUCUUGCAUGGUUCGACUUGUGAGGAUCUCCACGAGCUUUCGUUUAAGUGCACAAUUGCCUGCAAAGUACGAAACCUUCUUAGUUACAUUUUUCUGUUUUUCAAUGAAAUGAAUCCAAGAUGAAGCUAGCUAUGUCUAGUUACAAAUUAAUGUCCGAACGAUUGUUCCUCUACAAUUGUUAGAGCAAUCCCACCAUAGAUUAGUGGUCUAGAGGGAGUUGACUUGUGUCUUUUACUUUAAAAUGUAUUUAAAAAAAAAGAAGAAAAAAAAAAUGCCAAAGAACGAGACAAGACAUAUAUACCAGUGAAAAAAGCAUUUAGGCAUUCACAGUCCACUUGAUACUUCCUACAGCCUUGAACUGAACUUGCCAUGAUCCAAGAGAUUUUUUUGAAGACUAGUAGUAUAUUUUCCAAAUGUGCUGUUCUCCAUUUUGGGAGACCACAAUUUAUAAGGUGAAACAAAGGUGGAGAUUGACCCUUUGACGUCCCAAUCGAUUUGUCACAAUCCAAAGAAUAAUAGUUACUUUAGUAAAGAAGCCAGUAACCCAAAAAAGUGGGAAUAAUAUGAUGAAAACUACGAGUAGGUGAAAGAAUAAAUAAUCAAACAUAUGCUAGAAGCCUCAAAGUUUCAACGGUACUUGGUUUUGUGUAUGUUGCUGUUUUUCCACCCACUUUUGCUUUUGAUAAAUUCCCAGCUGACCUUUUUUGUUUGAUGUCAAUGGCAAGAAUAUUUGGCUCUAAGUGCUCAAACACCCACCCAUAAAAGGAAAGAAUUUAAGGGGGGGGGGGGGGGGAACAAUAUAUUGACGACUCUCCUUGAUGUCAAUCAGCUUUAAGUUUAAGGAACAAUAGCCGAUCAAUGUGACUGCUGUCAAAGUAGUUGCCAUCAGGCAUUCGAUGCUUAAUGCUGUUCUGAAUUGCCAAGACAUUUCCUCCAACCAAUUAAAAAAAAAAAAAAAAAAGAAAGUAAGAAGGAAAGACAAAUCUGAUAUUCAUGAAGUGCCAGGAAAUUUUGGCUGGCCAAGAUAAUCUCUGUGGCAAUUCGAAUUUCACAAUCAACAUUUUGGCGUGUAGAUUGGAAGGGGAAGUGUAUUGCUGGUUUCUUGUCCUGGAGAAGAUCAGCCAUUAGACAUGGGGUGACUGACUUUCGAGUUGGCCCUCCAAAGUGUUCAAGUCUCAAUUAAGCCUUUGAAACUGGAAAUCUCGUUUCAGAUAAGCCGUUCCAUCAAUUCACGCUUGGCCAAUAAUUUUAACCAAACUUUAGUAGUAAAUUAAGCAAACUCUAGCAAUAAUUCAGGGAAUUUGAAGAAAUUAACCUUUCGUCUAGAAUGAGCUAAAAUAUAGUCUGAUUUGAAUUUAAAUCCACGAAAUAUAUAUAUAUAUACUGGAAGAGAUCUGUUCUAUCUUUCUUUCUUUUUUUUUUUUUAAUUAAUUUACAUGAGAGAUUAAUAGUUUCAAGUCCCUAAAUAAUUGGUAGGAUUUGAAUUUAUCACUGGACCAAACUGUGAAUGGAUGAAAAGAGCUCAUUUGGAAUAAAAUUUCCAGUUUGGAGAGCUCGAUCGGAACUAGUUCAUUUUUAAGGGUUGGAUCCACACUUUUUGUCUACUUUAGAGCCCCGAAUCAAGAUUUAUCCCAAGAAAUAUUGUGGAAUAAGAUACUACUCGAGACAAGUUCGAAACUCCACGUGUGGAAAAAGGACUUGAGAGUCAAAUUAGAAACUCCACAGUUACCUAGUUAAUGUUGAGUUUUUUGCCAAAAUAGCACUCUAUCUAAAAAAUAUUUCUAAUGUGAUUCAUUUUCAAAUUUUAUUCCCAUAAUGAUGUUAUUUUUUUCACCUAAUUACCCUGAUUGCCAUGUAGGAUAACAAGAAAGGAAAGCUUUAACCUCGUCUAUAGUUUCCAACAUGAACUAAAAAUUUGAAUUUUUUAUUAUAAAAGCACAAAAGAUUGCGUAACUUUGAUAAUUUCCUUAUAAUUAUUUAAAAUAAAUUCUACCAUUAUUGACCUUGCUAUUAUUGGUCUCUGCACUUUUUCAAAAAUGUAUCAAAUCUAUUUCAUAUAUUUUUUCAAAAAUAUAUUUGAAAAAUACAAAAAUUGCAACGAAAAAUUGUAAGUAAUAACAAGAAAAAGUUACAAAAAUUUCAAAGUUAUCAGAUUUGUUUAUGUUAUGCUUCCUACUCCUUGAAAAAGAACUUUUACAAAAAGUAAUCAUACUGAAAUUUUCAAGUCUAACAAAUUACUAUAUAAGCAAUCAAGUAGUAUAAAAAGGCAAAGGGCAUCCUACUACGGGAAAAAGUCAUGUUGUAUGGGAAAAUAUGACAAAAAUAAGAUUUUUUUAAUUAAAUUUUAAAAAUGCAAUAAAGUUCUCAACAUCCAUAUCUUAUGCAAAGAACUAAAAAACAAGAUAUUCUGAACUGAAAAAACUAUCAUGGUAUAAUUACAAUAAAUUUGCAAUCAAUAAAUGUGUCUCAUAAUCAUUGCCAAUUGCAAGCAAAUUUGAAAUAUUUGAACCCACACUCUUGAAACUUCCUUAAGUGUUAGCAAAUAGGAAAUGGAUACAAGAAUGUCAUUAGGCAAUCCACUAAUCCUAUGUUCAGGCACUUUAAUAAUGCUAAAUUCGAGCACUUCAUUGAUCCUAUCUUCAAAAUGGGUAAGUUCUAUUUGAUCACUGCAAAUCAUAUACAGGGAAUGAGGAAAACAAAGAGCUAUCACAAGUUAGAAGUUUUUUUAUUGCAACUUGACGUUUUUCAUAGCCAGUGAUAACAUAUAUCUUGUCCAUGAGUUCAUGGUAUUUUAUCUGAUAACUUACUCGAAUGGCUUUUGGAGUAACACCUUCGUAACUAAGACCAUGUAUGCUAGUUGUCAUCCUACCAUUACCAAAAAAAAAAGAAAAAAGUAACAUUUCUACCAGCCAUUGCUACAAAAUUCAGCAGCACCCACCUACACAAAAUUAAACAAAUCAUUAAUUAAGCAAAUAUUGCCAUGCCAUCUAAGACAAGAACUACCAGUAUUUGUCAAUAAUUAGCAAGGUCAUCACUUACAUGUUAUUUAUAAUGCCACUAGAUACAAGAACUACAGGUAGAUUAAAUCGAAAUUGAGACUAGUAAAUUUCAUGCAAUGCAAAAGAAAUCUACUAAUGCAAUUAAGAUAAUGCUCAAGUUGCUCAAAAGUAACACAAACCAUCAAUUGAUGUUGAAUAAAUGUGCAAAAAUAUAUUAAGCAUAUGAGAUUAUUUGGUCAUGUGAUAUAGAAGCACUACAAAUGAACAUGCUCGUAUAUGUGGUAGAAAUCAAACAUAUUGAGCAUGAAUCUAUGUUGUUAUGUAGUUUUCCUCUUGGACAUUUUAUCAAACACACGGUAUGAGAAAUCACUUGUUAAAUAAUUAGUAUUCAAAAUUUUUUUGAAAGCUAUAGGAAUAUUCCAAAAACUACACAAUAGAAAAGAUAAAGGAAUAAUCUUCAUUUACCUUAAGAUUAUCAAUUCGGGAAGAAUAUUUUCAUCCACGAAUACAAUAUCAGGAAUGAUAGUGAAGUUUUAGAUUCUAUUAAUAUAAAUAUUGGCCUUUUAGAAUUACUUUUGACAAGAAAAAAAAUAACUAAAGGAAAUAGUUCAGAGAGAGAAUAAAGAAAGAUAUUAGAUAAAAAAGAAAGAUAGAGUGUGCCUCUAUUUCUAUUCUGCCAUAUAUGCAACCUACGUGGCAAAAAAAGAAUUAUAAAGAUAAUAAUUUUUAAAAUUAGAUUACUUUAGAUAUAUGUUUUAGAAGAAGAGUUACAAUAAACUCAGUUAACGUCCCUAUCAGUUAAAUCUGGUCUUGCGGACUUCUUGUUGCUAAUUUCUUGCAUGUUCUGUCUUAAUUGAAGAAGGGGAAAAAAGAAAUCAUCUUGUCGUCAAAUGAGCCUAGCCCAAUUUUAACUUGGGCUAUUGAGCUUGUAGUCCAUGGGGUAAAGCUACUACUCAAGUCUUUUCACCCGCUCGGUACACCACCGACGAUGUUACCAGUUUUCAUGCGCGGGUUAGAUACAUACAAUACAUGGGUGAUUUGCUUUGUCCCUAACCUUGAGAAAUAGCUCCAGCAUCAAAUUUUGGACCCUAAAAUUGCAUUUUUUUUAAAAAAAAUCUUUUUAAAAUAAACUGUUUAAAUCAGAUCAAAUAACGUGGCUCAAUCUGAAUCGCAAAUCUGAAUCACGUCUACGAUUGCCAGCGCAACCGUUCCUGUUUCUUGCAAUCAUGAAUGGAGUUAUCCACAUUAAUCUUGGAAGAGACAGUAGUGAUACUUAUGAGGCGGACGUUUGAGCUUAGUUAAUUGGUCUGAGUAACCACCAAAACCAUGUGUCCCAUAUAUGCAUGCAGGCUGAAAAUUAACAUUGUCGUAGGAUACGUUAACACUUGCAUCACAUUCCUCAAUUUCACCAACUGCUCACCUCACUUCCUGAAGUUCUGAAAUCAAACUAGGUACAAACUUUCCUUUCAAAUCUUGGAGAGCCAAUUUGUCUUCUACCCCUUCAAUUCGUGGCCGACACUGCAACAUUAGGUCAGUAUUCACCGCCAUAGUUCAUCAAUAUUUAUGCAUCCAGCUAAAACCCUUUUCUCGAUACAUGCAUCUAUUUCAAUCACACAUGUAAUUGUUCAUUAACUCAAAAAUAUUUCAAACAGGGUUGAGUUUCAUGAAGAAGAGGAUGACCCUCUCAGCCCAGCAAACACAGAAAUUGAUCAAGAGGAAGAUGAAGUUGAAGAGAUUAGCUAUGAUGAUCUCAAGAAACGGAUGUGGAAGGAUCGGCUGAAGAUGGAAAAGCUGAAAAAGACGAUGGAAAAUGAAAGGCUGCUAGCUGAAUCCCAAGCUAAAGAAGAUAUGUCAAGAAGGAAGAAAAUGUCAAGAGCUCAAGAUUCAAUUCUUAAGUCUAUGGUGAAGAUUAUGGAAGUCUGCAAUGCUCAAGGGUUUGUUUAUGGGAUUGUUCCAGAGAAGGGCAAAGCUAUGACAGGCUCAUCUGACAGUUUGCGCGAAUGGUGGAAAGGUAAGGUCAAGUUUGAUCAAAUGGCUCCAGUUGCCAUAGCCGAAUUCUUGCCUAAAAUUAUUCAAGAAGGUGGAGUUGAUCCAAAUUCGCUUUUGUAUCUUCUUCAAGGUAUACCGGAUACUAUUUUAGGCUCACUUCUUUCAGCUCUUAUGCAACACUGCGCUCCUCCCCAGCGGCGGUUUCCGUUAGAGAAUGGUUUGCCACCGCCGUGGUGGCCUACCGGGAAGGAACUCUGGUGGGGUGAUCAAGGGAUGGCGCAAGAACAAGGCGCACCACCGUAUAAGAAGCCUCAUGACCUUAAAAAGGCAUGGAAGGUGAGUGUUUUGGCUUCUGUUAUUAAGCAUAUGGCUCCAGAUUUUAACCGAUUGAGGAGGUUAGUGAGGCAGUCUAAAUGCUUGCAAGAUAAAAUGACAGCCGGAGAUACUUCUACUUGGUCCAGAAUUGUUGAUCAAGAAGAAGCCCUUUCGAAAUUGACUGAGAAAGCACUGAAGAUUUCACCAUCCGAGCAAGAUGAUCAAGAAAAGGAAAAGGAGGAGGGCCUUAAUUUGGCAAGUGUAGCAGCAAGUGAGAAAAGGAAGUGCAUGUUUGAAUGUGAGGUGAUUUUGGAUAGUUUGCUUGCUUGCCAGAACUCUGAUUGUCCACAAAGUAAUCUAAGUUCUGGAUUUUCAGACAAGAAUUCUAGGUCUGAGCAUGAAAAAACAUGCAUUUACCGCAAGAGUGAUGGUGAAAAGAAUGAUGCAGACAUUAAAUCUCAAGAAUCUAAUUCAUUUCCAGUUGGUCUUUCAAUCCACCAUCAACCAUUUCCUGAAGGACAAGUAUUGUUCACAGCAGAUCAAGUAAUGGUUAAUGAUGAUCAUCAUGGGGUGACCAGCCAACAUGAUUGGAUGGAUACCUAUCAUGAUGAAAUUGGACAACUUCCUUGGAUCAUGAUGCAUAUGGAAACAUGGACUUAAAUUUGAUUCCAUCAGAAGAAAGUCCAGUUCCACAAGAAAGUGCAACUUCGAUUUGGGAUUUGUCAUAUCAUUAAGUACAAGCGGUCAUUUUCAGCUUCUGGUCAUAUUACAGCCCUGUGCUGCAAGACUUAUUUUAGUGUUACACUGUUGGUGUCUCUCUUUCUUUAUUACAUAUUUUGUGUACCUUUUUCUCCUACUUCAUAAGUUUCUUGCUUUGUUAUUCGCUUUAAUCUUUGAAGGUUUGUUUUUACUUGGUCACAUAUUUGGAUGAUAAAUAUUCCCUAGUAUCUUUUAAUCUAUUCUUUACAUUGGAUCAUUGACUGUCAACUUAUGCCUGUAGGAGUAUAUCAUAAGAAGCUUUUGCCUUACAAUUUCCCAAGAACCUAAAAAUCUACCAGAUAUUACAAUUGAGGUGAGUCAUAAAAGCUAUGCCUCAUAGGUAUACAAUCUUCAAAGCCCAAUCUUGAGCCUGUGCAUGAAAAGCCCUUCCUAAACUUUGCUUGCUUGUUCUUCAUCUCCACCUCUACAGCAAAUACAGCACAUACAGGUCUAUGAUCUGAAAAUCUGGAUUCUCCCCGAAUAUAAGAUAACUGCUCAAUCCCAUCUCCACGCCACAAUAUUCUAUCACACCUGAAGUCCAUAAAUCUAGAAAUCAAGAAAAUGCUGAUUUGAUGUGUCAUCAAAUUCUUUUAUGCCAUUACUUGUUUUUAAAUGUGAAGGAAAAAUGGGAAGGAUACAAACCAUGCUGGGGUUCGCCUCUUUUUCUUAGAUUUUACAGUCUCUCCAGCGUAGGAAUCAGAGUUGUGUGAGUACUUGUAAGUUGGAGCAAAGAAGAUCUUCCCUUCAUGAAAACCACUAAAUACCCUGCCUGCUUCUCUCUCCAUGUUUAGCUGUGCUCCAGUAAGUUAAGACCUUGUCAGUCAACUAAAUAUAAAUGAGAGUUUAAAAUCAGAAAAAUAUGACACAAAACUUCCAGGCUAAAGCCAGCUUAGCCUAAUUAUAUUAGUAAAACUUGAAAGAACUCUAACAGAAAAGAAAGGGUCUAACAAUCGCCAAUAAUGCAACUAAUGCUCACAAUCUUCUUCUAUUUCCUUAUUCCAGUUUUGCUAGAACUUUAUUUCUAUUGUUGCAUGCAUCUCUUGCUUGUCUCUUUCUCAGAUAUAUUAGUGGAAUUUGGACAUGUUUAAAGAGUUCAAGAGCUAAUACAUUAGUAAAACCCUAUAAACUCCUAGAAUUCGAAAUGAAAAACUUGCUUUUAGAUGUUUUAUUUUCUUUUUCACUUUUGGAAAAUUCUUUUUCUUAGCUGUGGUAUAUUGUUUCUUUCUCAAAUUUGGAUGUCCAAAUUUCCAAGCGGCAUAUUUCUAGAGCUUGUAGGUUAAUUAGAUACAGUUGCCAUGACAAUUGAGCAUUAAGUGAUUGUACAAUUCAUGCACCUUAAUCACCUACGUGUUCAUAUCUAAACAAUACAGUUGUCAGAAACCUGCGAUUGUAACGAGUCUUGAUACAUCGCUGGAGUGGUGGCAUAGCUAAUGAGUCAAUAUCAUGUUAACAUACUGUGGUUAUUUUAGGCCUCAAUGCCAUAUUAGGUGUCUAGUUGACUUAGUGACGCCUAAGUCUAUUUCAAACAAAAUCUCCAAUUCAGAACUAAACUGUUGACUAAGUGAAAUUAAGGUCUCUUUCAAUCAAUAUCUCCAUUUCUAAACUAGACUAGCAAUUUCUGAGGCCACCAACCUGAUCCCUUUCCAGAAGGGAAUCCCAGUCAUUGUCCUCUAACAGCAGUCUGGUUUCUUCGUAGCUUAAAGACACCCGGUAAUUCAAGUCUCCAAGCCAGAUAAUGCGGCUGAAAAUGCAAGUUCCAAAGUCAAAAUUUUGGAUGAAAAUCCGCAAAAGAUUAUGGCUAGAAAAAUACAUUUUCUUCUAUAUUGACUUACUCGUGGUCAAUAAUUCUUUCUGGAAUUUGACGAAUCGGAUUUUUGCAAAUCCUGGGGAAUUGCGUACUCUUUAGAAUUUCAGCUACAUCAGCAUUUCUUCUGAGUUCAUCUCCUUCCUUUUCCCCAGAAGCCAAGUGACUGCAGACAAAGCAUAAGCUUGUUUGGUGCAAUGACAAGCUUACUGAUAUACAGCCCUGCAGUAAAGUACAAAAAAAGUACUCAAGAGUACUGUUUUACCAUGCAAUUGUGUCUAUCCACAAUGAAAAAAUUGGGCUGGUAUCCCUUAAAUUAAUCCUAUGAACCAUUUUUUCGAGUGCCCGCAUAAGGAAAAUAGAUGGCCAGGGGUGUAAAAGUGUCCAACUAAAUUGAAUAUUGUAGAACUUAUACUUGUUUGUUUACUUCAACGAAUUUGAAAUUGUAUUCAAGUUUAGUUUGUUUUUGUAUCAAAUCAAACUAAAAUGACUUUUUGUAAAGCCAAAUACGAGUCAAGUUUUAGCAGGUUGAAUUUUUUGAUAUGUAAGUUUUAAGAUAAAUGCUAAUUGAACCAAACUCGAGUUAAUUUAAAAUUUUACAAAACACAAUAUACUAUUUAUAUUUGACUUAAUUAGUUGGCUAAUUAAAUUUGAAGGAACUCUUACUGAACCGAACAUGAUUCUAGUAUUGACUAGUUAGAUUUGUCUUUCACCCCUAUUGAAGGCGCACCUCAUCAAAGCACGAAUUAGACCAAUGAUGAAUGAACACUAAGUUUUUUUCUUUCUUAAGGAAUACUUUGGUUCGACUCUAGCUCUUUUCAUUCUCUUUAUAUUCGCUCCCUGAGGGUUGUAGCAGUCUCAUUAAUUUAAGCAAGAGGAAUUGCUUGUCAGCACCUAGAUUGAAGAAUUGUGAAGGAGAAAGUCCCGUGCGCCAAGUGCAAUUUUAUAUACAUGGCAGUGUCGACAUCAGUAAGGUUUGUUUAAUCCUAGGAAUAGUUUAAGGGAUUUCUAGCUAGUCUUAGGAUGAUAAACUAAUAAUUUGUCUGAUAAAAUAUUUCGAUAUACAGUCCAUCAUUAACCGACCAAAGACAGCAGGGCAAGGCAAGGAGAAGAAUAAUGAUCAAGUUAAACCAACCUUAUUGCCAAGAUAACCCAUGAUUCCUCUUCCAAUGCAGGAGAUUCUGAGAUGACCAAUGUGUUGCACUAACUCUUUUCUGGCCCAAACUGAAAGAAAAAUGCCAACCAUUUGCUUGCUUGCGACAAGACGGUAACACAUUCUAGGAGAAGGAAUUUCGGCCAACUGAAGGAAUUCAUCCAUGCUAGAAUCUCCAGAGGAGAAAGGAGAAGCACAAGGGUCACUAAGCUUCCUAGGCAGCCUGUUCGAAAUUGAAGAUUCCAAGGGGCAAUUGCAAAUCUUGAGAAGGCUAUUAUCAAUUUUUAGAUUUCUGCUGAGCACUUUCAGAGAUGGCUUAUGGAAAACAUUGGAUUUUGAGUCCUUUGAGUUGUGUGAGUGCUUUGAAUUCGACCCCUCCGAAAAUGAAUCCAUAUAUUCAUGAUAUGACUUGUUCAAUGCUUGGCUUAUGAGGGCUAGCCAUUUUACUGCAGGCUCAUUGUCUUCACUAACUAAAACAUUUCCAGCACUCAAAGGAACAAUCUCCUGAAACCUGAAAUACACAUACUAUCUUAUCUUAGUAUCGAUAAUUGCACAUAAAACUCAGUAACCUAACUACUUUUUUCAAUCAAAUAUGCAGGUGAUGAAGCAUACCCUAACACAUAUAUAUCUGAAGAGCCCUCCACCUGCAAGAAAUGUUCAAGAUUUAGGCCAGGAUCAGGUGUCUUCCCUCCCACAUUCCACGUUCCAACGAAUAUCCUACAACUCACAGAGACAUUUACAACGCCUGCAACACUUUGUUCUCGUCUUUGACAAGAAAUAGUAAGAGUCAAAAAACCUGAUAUUUCUUUCUGGAAUACCUGAUGUCUUGAACAAUGGUUGAAGGUGCCAUAGGCUGGUCAAAGUAUGAGAGGUUGAGGCCUUCAAUCCGGGAGCUACUGUGCCUUUCUGGGAAUAUAUAAGAAUAUAAUAGAAUGAUUCCCACUUUGCUACGUACUAAGAAAGAAAUUACUACGAUAAUUUCCAAUGUCAAAGGCCUCUUGGUCAAUAUCAACAGUAAAAAACUACUUUCAUAUUAUCUCAGUUUCAUACUACUACAAUGAAUAUCUUGGCAAUAAUCAAUAUGCAAUAGUCUUCUGGUAGUUGAGCUACCCUAUACGCUAGCCAGCCAAGAUCAUAAAACCUACAAGAAUACUAAUUCUCCGACUACGUGUCUUUCAGCACUAGUACCAACAGUAUCAAUCACGGAUUAUCUUGUUUAAUAUGUCAUUUUCAAUACUUGAGAUGAUGUACAAUUUUUCACAGGAUGUAUAGAAGCGUGUGCAAAUUAUUCUUGUCCCUAAACAGAUUCAAUUAAUAUUGAUGAGUCACUAGGUUCAUAAUCAGUAAACAUAAAUUUCAGAAUAGAAAAGUAGGAAGGUGAUACAUAAAAUUCUUCUGUUAUGUUAUGUUGCACAUGAAGAGUACUAAAAUCUCCACUGCAUGCACCAGAAACAAUUUUAUAUAUUUUUGAUGAUCCCUACCUGAGAAAUUUUUCUGCACAGAGGGCAAUGACGCCUCUAGGAAUACUUUCAUUCUUGAUGUCAGCCUGCUAUCCAAAUCUGUCUCCAAAUAACUCAACAAGAUAUAAAGUACGAAAGAUAAAGGAAAAAAACAUUUAUUUUUUGCAUGCCUUUUUAAAACCUUGAUAUUCUCACGUAGAAUACAUUAUUAAUUUUUUAAAAAAAAAAAAAAAUUCUUGGAGAUAACAAGAGGGGGAGACUCACCUUGAUCAUUUCCAUCAAGUUGAGUAACAUCUUCUUCUGAGCUUUCUCUACUAUUUCUCUUGGAACUAAAUAUCUUUGGAAAUAUUGACUUUAUCCCAUUUCAUGAAUAUCCAAAAUACAAAUUAGAAAAGGAUAGAAGACAGAUUUUUUUUUAAAAAAAAAAUCAAGAAUACAUGCUAUUAGACAUAAUGGAAUACAAAUACAUCUGACGGCAACUUUUUUUUUAAAAAAAAGGGGUAAAUAAAGAAGAGAGGAUGUAUACCUUCUUUUUCUUUUCACCCUUGACAGAAUUUUCAGGAGUUGUGGACUUGCUUGAACAGCAGGAACUGCUGGGGUUAGUCAUGUGGGCUUUAUCCUCACCCAUGAAAGGCCUUCUUCGUGGAGAUGACAUUCAUUCUAUUGCUAAUAUUCUGCAACUGUAAAUUUUUGUAUGAUUCUCAGGUUAAUGGUCAGCAGCAACUCCUAAACAUAUGUAACUCAUGCGGUUUGGUUAGAUCAGUUUCUGUGCCAACGUUGACAGCACUCAUCAAAAUUCAAAUUUCUUGAUUUGCCUUUUGUUUGCAUGCAUUUUUGUGCUUUUGUGAUUUAUGUUUGUUAUUUGUGUUUCAGUUGAAAACCACCACCAUUUACUUAUCCUUUUCUCUUUUUCUUUUUUUUUUUUGAUUGGUUUUGGGGUGUGGUGAUUCUUCACUAUUUCUUCAAUUGGAUAUUGCUUUGAUUUCUUUUCCUUUUUCUUUUGUUUUGAUUGGCUGGACUUUUGUGUUUUUGUUCAAAGAAAUGAGAGUUUGCUGCCAAACUUUUCGGAGCCAAAUGGGAUAAGCGGUUAAUACAUGUAAAGUUAAAUAUUUACACAUGAUAGAUAGAGAGAUUGGAGUGCAUAUGGAUAUGGGAAUGUGGAAAUCAUGGACCCCAUAUACCAUACACUGAAAAUUUUCCUAAAAUUUUGUUUGUUAUCCUAAAAUUUUGCCAUUUUCCCACAAAUUUCCCAGUUUUUGUUCACAGGAAAAAGGAAAAUGGCCCUCUUCUUAUUGACUAGUAAAGCUUCCUCAUCCCCCUUUUCUUUUUGUUUUGGGUUUUUUUUUUGGGGGCUGGGGGGUUAUUUAAUAUUUCAAAAAAUGGGGAUUUAUUUAAUUUAUUCUGAGCCAGCAGGAUACAAAAAGACCAUCAUAAACUCCAAGAAAAAGGAAAAAAAAAAAAAAAGGAUGACCCCGCUUUUAGUUGCAAUGAAAAGCUACUACAAUUCGAACAGUAGGGUUCCUUCAACUCCAAAUAUGGCAAAAAUAUAUUCAUACCGUGAUAUGAAAGUCAAAGGAAUAUAGGAUCACCUCCAAGGAAGGUAACAAAAGAGAACUACCAUAUUUGCCUUGAUUUACCAAACAAAAUUUGCAGCUUUAGCUUUGAUUAGUUCACUAAAAGAGAAAUGAUGCAGUAACUACCAGUUGACUGAAACAAGAAAAUUAUGGUUGUCCAAGAGCAAAAUAGCAGUAUUGAUUUCAUAACCUGAAGACUCUGUUUGAUUAAUACAUUGAUUAUUAGCAUGUCGUUGGUCCAUGAAUUCUUUUUGAGUUUUGACAACCAUAUCUUCAUCAACAAAUUCUUUGUAACAACCAUGCAUUCAAUACCUAGCAAGAAUUCAAGGACCAUAUAUAACAGUUGAGGUUCCAAAACCAUCUGAUAAGAACAGCAAAUUUGGGCGCCCUAAUACAAGAAUAAAAGAGUUAAAACUCUCCACGAGAUUUAGAAGAAAAGAAGGAAAUACAAAAGGCCAAAAAGAGAUUUAAAAAAAAAUGGUGCUCUGUCGUACAAUUUCAUAUUCAAACAGCCUGUUGAGGCAUCAAGAGAAUGUGUGAAGGAUCUGUAGCCCAAUCAACUAAUGCAGUCGAAAUAUUGAAUAAAUAAGACUGGAGAGGUGGGGAAUUCCAUAUAAGGGAAGUUACUCCAGCUGAAGAGAUUCAUCUGCUGCAUGAGCAAAUCAAUAAAAGGAAAAGUUAACUGAAAAUUAUGAACCUGGCAUGUGUGAACAUGUUGAGAUUGAUGCUAGGCAAGUCAACAGAAAACUGAAACUCAUAAGUUACUAGACGUUUCUAUCAGUAAAACUACAUAGGAAGUCAAAUCUAUUUAGCCCUCAAAUCCUCAACAUCGAAAUUGAUGUCAAUGCUGCAUUCAACUUGUUCAAUAAAAAGGACAAACGAAACUCUUUUGCUACAUCCCAACAACACGGCUUGACGUUCUCUACAUGUCAUGCUGCGAAGAUAUGGUAGUCUUUUGCUACUAAUAGUAUCUAUAUCUACCAAAGAAAUUAUGAAAUCAAACUAUAGCAACCACAUGUCAAAUAAAUACAUCAUUGUUUGAUCAGCUGAGGCGUGAACAAAAAUCAAAGGCCAAAUGAAGAGACAGACAAUACCUCAGUCAAAACCAUUAGUGUCACAUUUCAUCUAACUGUUGUCUAUAUAAUGCCAAGCUCUGCAGAAAGAAAGUUUCACAAGUGUCAAGGUGCCAGUUAACUGUUGCAUUCGACAGCAUAAUGUCAUGUGUUACGUAAAAUAACGGAAGAUGAAAAUAUACUUCCAAAUCUGGGUUCAAAAACAGCGAUUUAACUGGUCAGAAGCUAUCUUAUGAUACUGCACAUGGUAUAUAUGAAACACAUAUUACUACCAGUAACUGAAUUGAAUCUUCCCAUAUCAAAAAAUAAUUUUCUUUACAAAGUAAUAUAUUCAUUACCUUCUAUAGGCCGAAUGUGCUAAUUCUCAAUUUAUGUGCUGAACAAGGGAAAUUGAAGAUCUAAUCUAUAUGGCCACUUAAAAUCAUUCAAUGAAGCCUACCUAAACCAAAUACUUCCAAGAAAGGACUAGCACUUAUGUAUGAACUGGACCAUUUUAGUGAUCAACCAUCCAUAUUAACAUGGAACCAACAGUAAGGAGGUGGUGUGCAAGAAUGCCAUGUAGAUUGAUAUUGGGCACCAAUGUGCCACAGUAGAAAGGUUCAAGAGCAGUCUUGUACAAGAAAAGAGUAAGAAUGUUGGAUAUGGAGGUAAAAGACAGGGGAAAGAAUAGAAGAGAGUUCAGGAGAUGAAUAUUUAAUGGGUGAGAAACAGAGUAACUUUCUCACUAUCUCUAGCAUUUGCGGCCCCCUAAAUCCCUUUGGCCUAUCUGAAAACUUUCUAAUUCCAAGAUAAAGUGCCAGUUGAGGUAGUAGCCUGAAAGUGCAUUUUUUACACAGAGGAGAACAGUAAAAACCAUAUGAAUAUGAUUGAUAAAUGGAAAACAAAAACCGUGCCAAAAACCAUGAUAAAUGCAAAGAGCACAUUGUGUACAUGCAUGUAAGGGCAUGUAUAUGACAGUCUACUGCUGACAUAAAAGGUUAUCAAUUCGAUUAACAAAUGCUAUAUUUGCUGCUCAGUAUUUAUGGUGUUCAGUCACCAUUUGGUAAUGUGCAACUCUAGAAAUGUAACUGUUACUUCACUUUUUCCCUUUCUGGGAACCUCUGCAAAGCAUAAAAAAGAAAAGCUAAAGAUAAAUUCCUCACAGAGUUUGAAGCUUAAACACAAAGAGGGCUUUGCACUUAAGAUCAAUUUUGAUUAACAACAGCACAUCUGCAGUAUCAACAAUCCAGUGUAAGCCUAUUAGCUUUGUAGAAAACCACAGACUUUCUAAGGGUAUUUCUCUCAGUGGAUUGACACUUGAACGCUAACCUGAUGAAAAUUACUUCACAGCAAAAUUGGGGUAAUCAAUAUUAAAAAAGAGAGAAAGAAAGUAUAUACCUCAGUAUAAGCAUAAACACCAACCUCUGUAGAUCCCAAGGGGCUGCCCCUCCUUAUGAAUUUUCCUUCUUUAUAUAUGUAUAGCAUAGGUACCCCAGUUGACAAUUCUAAGUCAAUGACCUGUCACAAGAAACUAAAUGAGCCACAACUAAGAUAAAUUACAUGGUGAGCAAAUCUAUUAGAAAGCAUUUUAUAGGUCUGAGGCUGUAGAAAUAAAAAAUAUUACCUCCUGAGAAGUUAGUUUAUCAAGAUACAUAAUCAUGGAUCUCAGGGAAUUUGCAUGAGCCACCACCAUUACAUGUUUUCCAAUCAAAAGUUGAGGUUCAAUCUGCAAACUAGAUGUUAUUAGCAUUCAGGUAUUUAGAAGUACAAGUCUUGAAUGCCAAACAGAACAAUGUCAUGGUUAAGUAUCUACAUUUCUAUCAAGCAUAGACACCAUGGCUUACAUGCUCUCUAAAGAAAGUAACUGCUCUCUUCAAGCACAUCUCCAAACUCUCACCAUUAGGGGGCCGUACAUCAUAACUUCUACGCCAUUUCUGAACCUGAUCUUUCCCAUAUUGUUCAGCUGUCUUCUGCUUGUUAAAACCCUGAAGAUCACCAUACCUGGAAAUAGUCUACCAGUGUCACAUUGAGCUGAAAUCUUUCAGUGGAUGUUGAAGGCUAAAAAUGAGCACAAAAUAAAUAUAGCAUUACAUUCUUUCAUUCAGCUGCCAUGCUUUGAUAAUUGGAAUGGUUUGAUUCUGGGUUUCCUCACUGUGAAUUUGACUCCACAUUUCAGCUUGUUCAUUCUCAUUAUGAAUAAUUAUGGGCACCUGGAAACUAUAAGUAGGUUAACUACCAAAGAAGCAGGAUGGCUGUUUCAAACUGUGAAAAGAAAAGGAAGAUAAAGCCUUCGAUUCUGAUUUCAAUGCGAAAUUUACACUUUUAGUAUGUUUUAAUCAAUAGUAACGGGAAUUUCCUCGCCUGAUUUAUCCCUUGUUCUCUUGAAAAUAUCUUCCAUAUUCCCCUUUUCUCUCUCUCUCUCUCUCACACACACACACACACUCACUCACACACGCGCGCGCACCUUCACACCCACACCUACACCCCACACAAUCACACACUCAGAAAUGUACAAACACUAAGUGUCAACCUCCCAUUUGGGUGUCAACAUUGCAUUGAUCCAUGACAAACCACUAAUUGGUGCACAACAAUCUGGUCUUCAGAUUCUAAGUUGCAAUAACAGUUGGAACAGCAGCAAAUAGUUCCAAGUUGAAAUUAUCUUCCUAGCCACCAAUUAAAUCAAUUUUUUGAAUAGCCUUUUAAAGUAUCACCCAAUAAAUUUAAAAUCUAUUCUAAAUUGGAAACAACCAAAAGUUGUCAUAAAAAUCAGUCAUUACAGUUCUCUUAGGAUGCUGAACAAGUUUUAGUUAAAGGAACAGGGUCUCUUUCUUCUCUACUUUGAUAAUUGCAAAACUAAUCACACGAACAUUGGAUGAAAAAGGCACUUCAAAGCUUGACACUAAUCAAACGCCAAAGUACAGCGUCAAGCUUAAGAAAUGAAAGGAACAUUAAAAGAAAAUUGGCAAGUCCAAUCAAAGAUCUAGCAGGAGCAUUGAGAAUUAGAGUUCUGUGGAAAAAUUAUUAUGUCUUCUGCAUGAAAAUGUUGCAGCACCUAUAUUAAAGCAAAAAGAGGUUGAGAUUACUGCUAUACAACUUUUGAACAAGGACGCAGUUUUCAUGUAAAUGUGCAUAGCAAUGCUUGUCAGCAAGUGCAUACUAAUCAAUAUAGGAAUCAAAACAUUCAAGCAUUGAGUAAUAGAAGAUGUAAAUUUCUUACACUAUGCAAAAAUACAUACUUUCAUGCAGUGGUGUUCCGUGAGAGCAAGCAUAGCAGUCAUUUGAGAACGAACCAAAGCUGAUGUGUAGACAAUAUCUAGGGGCAUUUUGCUGAUUCUUUUACCAGCUUCAAUUGCUUCUUCUACUCCUCUUUCUGUCAAUGGUACAUCAACACAACCAGUAAACAGGUUCUUCUCAUUCCACAUUGAUUCUCCAUGUCGAAUCAAUAUCAGAACAGACUCAUCUGUGAAACAGUGCUACCUUAAGUAUAACAAUGCAAAGAGCACCACCAGUACAAACUUAGGAUAUGUGAAAUGAAGAACGACUUAGCAUAAUAUUCACUCACUUUCUUUUUUCAGGGAAUCAUUCGUUUCAGUUGGUGAGGAGGCUAAAAUCGGAUAUGGAGCAGAGGAACAAGAAUUUGAUGCACAAGAUACCACUUUUUGGGACUUAAUAGUUCUCCAAUAUUCUUUUCUCCAGAAUGGUUCUUCAUUUUGUAUAAUUUUCGACAUUAAUCUCAAACAAGAACUAUGACAUCCCCGAUGGCCAGCAAAAUCCCUUCCACCUCCACUUUCACCACCAUUUCCAUGGACCAAACGGACAUUAGUAGCUUGAUAAAAAGCAACAUUACUCAUUCUGAUCAUCCAGUUACCCCUUUAACCAUAAUAAAUUAACUCAAUUAGUUUUUAUUUUAAGAAAAAAACUUGAUGCAUCCCAUCAUCUAUAUAAAAGGCAAUCAUCAUUUCUAUCUAUAGAAGUAUUUAGCAUACAAACUGUUUGAGUUCGAGAAUCAUUUUUAAAAAAAAAGUUACUAUAAAACCCUCGUCCCAUAUGCAUCAAGAACAUUACUAAACUAAUACUCUAUCUAUAUUUUUAACAAUAUAAGCUAAACAUAGCUUAUAGUCUAGCUAUCCAAAUAAAGCACAGAACAUUUUUCAAGAAUCCCACAUCAAUAUGAUCAUGGGCAAUCAAAAACCCCCAAAAGAAACAGAAAAAAAAAGUCUACAAAUUAAAGUCAAACCAUAUAUUAUUUGUAAUAAAUGUAGCAAAAAAGAAUGAACCAUAUAUAAUAAUGCAUGAUCAGAAUCCAUGGAAGCAGAAGCAGUAGAAAGUGAAAUCAAAUGAAGCUUACCUUUUACCGUAUGAUGGGACUUGGAGAUUUUAAAAGAAUGGAUUUGGUAGAGCUGAGGAAAAAAAAAAAAAAUUUUGUUUUCCCAACGCUGAUGGAGGGAAAAGACAAAGUGCGAGCAUCGCAGUUCUUAUGCCUAUUUGCUAUUUACGGUUUUGGUGCUGUAAUUAUGUUAUGAUUCACUUUUGUCCCCAAAAAAAAGAAUUAAAUUUUGUAAAAGGGACGUGGGUGUGAUUUUGGAUUAUUUAUUAUUGGCAAUAUUUGUAUUAACUUGUAUACCUAAAAAAGAUUUUAAAAAAAAAAGCAUAUUUUUUCUGACAUGAAUCAUUUAUUAAUUUAUGCCCUUUAGAUGAUGGAUUCAGUCACAUGUUGUUAAGGGAUUUCUUAUGUUUUAUUGAAAUGUUAUGAGCUAAAGUUUCUAGUUGUAGAACUUCUGUAUUAGUUGGUCCCUAAUUGGGUUCAUGCUGUUCUGAGAGGGACAAUACUUACAAAAUGUCAAAAUCUUAUGAUUUUUUCUUGGGCUUUUAUGCAUUUUGUGUGCUAUAAAGUUUAUAGGAUUUUACAAGAAAAUGAUUAGUUGGAAAGAAUAUUUGAACAAUUACUUCUAAUUACCCAUUUUCUUUCAAAAUUUCUUUUUGUCAAUCUGAUUUUGGGUAAAAGUGAUUUUCACUUCUUUCCUCCCUUGAACUGUACUGAGCUCAUUGAUGAUUGAAUUGAGUAUAUGGAGUUUCUCAAAGCCAAUAGAAGUAGUUUACUGCAGGUGACAAGACCUAUUACCGAACGUAUAAUAUCAUAUAAAGCAAAAUGUGACAAGGGAUUGCUCCCCAGUUCUUGACAAUUCAAUCCACAACACCUACUGGCCUCCUUGAUCAUGCUCAAGAGAUAAAAGUGGUAAUUCUAAUAACUAUAGAUCUUCAUGCAGUCAGAAACAUAUGAGACAGUUAAUGUGUAAUUAGUUUGAUCCAUAUUGGCAACAUUUUGACUUGUAUUGUUCUUAAAUAAUUGCUCAUGAUGGCAAUUUUUAUCAUGCAUAGAGUGAAAUGAAAAUGGUGCAAUAGUCAGUUCAAUACUUGGAACUGCAUUCUUUUGAUAGCUUAAACUAGAUUAAAGUUGGUACAAAAAAAUUUGUUGCUACAAAAGAGUUGACAAGUUGUCAGGUUAGACAACAUAAUACAAUCCUAUCCACUAUCCAGCACCAAAUUAUAUUUACUAGUUGUAUACAACCAUUUAUUUGCCCAUUCCAGUAUUGCAGAGUGCAGACAUAUAUAUAAAUUUUUUCCCCUUGUAACAUGGAUAUUAAGGUUUUGGAAGUGUAGAUGGUAUCUCCAUUCUACCUUCUAACAUCAAGAUCACAUUUCUCAUUGAAGGGCGGAGAUGAGGAGCUUCUUGAAUGCAUAAAAAUCCAACCUUGAGGAACCUUUCCAGGGACAUCAAUUCUAUUUCUUCAUCUCUGAUGAGCUUUUUGAGCUCGUUUGUCACCAAGCAUUUAUAAGCCCAGCUGGCUAGUUGGACCUCAUCUGGGGUUGAAACAGUGUUAUCCACAUUACUUCUGCAACAGAUGAUCUCAAGCAAAACUAUUCCAUAGCUGUAAACAUCUAUCUUCUCUGAUGUCAAGGCAUUGUUCUGCCAUUCAGGUGCCAGGUAGCCUCUCACAGCUCUAUCAACGGCACUAAGGAUUCCAUUUUGAGUUGGCAUCAAAAGCCUUGCAGUUUCAAAAUUGCAAAGCUUAGCAGUCCAGGAAUUGUUAACUUGUAUGUUCUGAGGCCUGAUGCUGCAAUGGACAAUACAGGGCUCACACUCUUCAUGCAAGUAAGAUAUCCCAAGUGCUACGUCCAACGCCAACUUCUUUCUCUGUUCCCAAGUAGGUCUAGUUUCUUCUUGGAAGAGAACAUCAGCCAAGGACCCUUUGCUCAUGAACUCGUAUACAAGAAGCUUUUUAGUGCCCUCUAAGCAAAAGCCAAGCAAUUGAAUCACGUUUCUGUGAUAAAUUCGUCCAAUUGCAGUCAUUUCAGCUAUGAAAUCUCUUCCUCCUUCCUGUUCACAGUUUUCCUGUCUUUUGACAGCAACUAUCUUGCUAUCCUCCAAUAAGGUUCCCCUGUAAACCUUUCCGAAGGAAGUAGAGCUUAACUCAUCCUUGAAACCGUCUGUUGCUCUCUCAAGCUCAUUGUAGGAAAAGGAUCGAAGAGUAAACUCUUUAUUAAGGCCCAAGUUUUUAAUUUCUAACAGCUUGUGAUAUUGCUGAACCCCUUUUCUGAAGAGGAAGAAGCUAAAGAUAGCAAAGAGGGUGAACAAAAAUGCAAGCAGACCAAGGGAUAAGCCAAUAAUUGCAAUUAAUCUCCUCCUCUUGCUUUUAUUCCGGAUCUCCCUUUUGGGGUGCUCAUGAGUCAAAGCUGAAAGAUCCAUAGUCCUAUGGACGAGCGUGAAAUUUGUGGACGGGCUUCCAUCUACUGAUGCAUACAGUAGCGGCAGCUUAUACUUCUUGCAGUCUCCUUCUGUACUAUACAGAACAGCCCAGCAGUUGCAAUCAACCAGGCAAGCAUUCUGACAAUCCCAAUCAACGGCAGAAAAUUCAGAAUAUGGGUGGCCCCCCAACAUGAUGCCCUUCAUAAUUGUGAAAUUGUAGGUGAGUUCCUGAAGAUUUUGCCAACAAAAUCCAUGGUUAACAAAGUCUCUGUAGCAUCCGAGGAAGGCCAUGUUUGGGUCGAUAUAAUUGAAUCCAGGAAAGCAAGUACAAUUUGCUGUGCCACCACUCCUAGAGCAGAAGCUGUUGACACCACAGAAACCACUGGCUUGGCAUGGGUUUUCAAAACCUGACCAUUCUACAGAAAUAGUCUGGUUAUUGCUGCUGUUGCGGAACCUAUGUGAGUAUAUCCUGAAAUUCCCAUCAGCAUCAAGAGUUGCACGAUGGAUUGCCGCUGUUUCAUUUCUGUUAUUCAAUACAAGGCCUUCAUCAGUGAAAUUUAGCCAUUCUGAUGAGUCGUUUAAACCGGUAGCCGCGAAUGUCCAGUACAGUAUAUUUUUGCUGUUUAUUGGAUAAGCAGCAAGAAAAUAGUCCUCCACUACAAGACCGAACCUCCCACUUGAUUGGUCUGAUGAUGAAAAGCUAGAGACUAAUUCUGUGCCAGAAGGCAGAUAUUGACCGCCUAAAAUGGUAUCAGUAGGAUACUUGUAACUCUCCCACAAGGUAUGAGUUUCGUUAUGGAUAACUAAGUUUCCAGAGUCAAACAAAGAGGCUGAAACCGCAGGAGAGAGUUGGUCUUCGAAUUCUGCAUUGAUUUUCUUCUGAGUGUCUGGAGUAGUUAAAAGCCAGCCUUGUCUAGUGAACCAAAGAUAGGCAUUCGAGGAGAUUGGUGGAUCAUCUCUAUUUGCAGUCCAAACAGUAGUAUUUGUAGGGGUACCAAUCAACCAUAUCCCAACUGCAUAUCCAUUCCCUUUCGGAUAGAAGCCGAAACCAAAAAGUCCAGAAGGAGAUAGCCACGAAGAAGGAUAAGAAUUUGGGAAGAGUUUCGUUCCUAUGCUUAUGUUUUGGCUAAGCAAUUGAGCUUUCACAGCAACUAAUGAAUGUAGUAAGCAGAAGAUAACCAGUAUUACGAAUAAAUUUGCCAUGAUAUGGAACCAGAUUGAGCUGAAACCAAGGUAAAUUUGGUUGUUCACUCAGUCUUUAUAGCUAGUUGUAUAAUCAAGAAAAUUUUGCAAACUCAAAUCAACAAACGGCUGUUGUAAUGAUGCACCCUCUCGCCUUCUCAAAUUGAUUACUCACACUAUUUAGUCAAAUUGACUUUUCCACCAGACUGUUUUUCGUUGAAUUAUGAAAAAAUGAUUUUGAAAAAGUUUCGAUGUUAUGACCGAAAGAAAAACGAUAAAGUAUGUCAAAAGUCGCCAACAUUAACUUUUCAUGCGCAGACAAUAUAGUAAAUUUUUUACGCUAAUAGUUUUGGAUGUAUGUUAUAUGCAUAUAAUUUAAAUUUAUUAACUCGUUUGGCAAAUGAAUUUUUUGGAUAUUUGUCUAAAAUUUCACUGUAACUUACUGUAGAAGUUAUAGGAAAAAUUUUUGAAUUGUGCAAAUUUUUGAGUAUUUUGAAGUGUAGAGUUUAAAAAUUUUGAAGAGUUUUUUGAGAUUAAUAUAGUUAAAAUUGUUAAAAAACUUGUAGAGCACAAAUUUAGCCAAAAAUUUGUUUACCAAACAGGCCCUAUUAUGUUACAUGGUAUGAUUUAAACUUAUUUGUGUAAAACAAAUUAUAGUAUGGUUUAUUUAAGUGGGGAAGUCAUUUUCCCUAACAUGUUCAUUCCAAAUUUUUCUUGAAAUUCCAUUCCUUAAACAAAUUUACUUCUCGUUUGAUACGUGAGAAUACUCGAAAUGGAAAGACCUUUCCAUUCAAAAUAUAUUUUCACCCAGAAUGGCAGGGAAAGAAAUUUAUUAUUCUAGGGUUUGGUAAACAAGUUAGCAUAGCAUAUUUACUCAAUUUUCAAUAUUUGGAACAAUCAAUACUUGGAUGUUAGAAUGGAAUAUAUUAAAUACAAAUUUGACUUAAUUGUCCUUGAUUAGUUAUAAGACGUAAUAUGUCUUAUUACUUUUUGUUUUAUUUGUUCUAUAGCAUCUGUCUAUUUACAUGAAAUCUUAAUAUUUUUACUUCAAAAUAAAUGUGAAUUGAUAUAUGAAAUUUUCUACUUGAUUCAUUCUAAUAUAUAGAUUUUUAAGUUAAAAUUUUGCAGUUACUAGUAAUAUAAUUAGCAACGUAAAAUCAAUUUUUCAAACAAUAAAGUAUCUUAAAACAUUUGUUUCUUACUGCAAAAGAAAAAAAUAUUUUAAAUACAAGGAAAAUUAAAUAAUAUAAAAAAUUACAUUCAAAUAUUAUUUAAACUUACAAAUAAUCUAAAAUAUCAUGAUUAUAAAGAUUUAUAAAGAUAAAUUUGACAUUUACUAUAUAAGCACUUUAGAAUAAAGGUAAAAAGGGUUUUCCUAAUCCCUCGUUUGGUAUAUAGAAAAGGCUUGAAAAGGAAAGCCCUUUUCUACUUAUCCCUAUCCCUCAUGUGGUGGAGGUAACAGAAUCCGAGAAGGUGCAUUAUAAUUUUUCACAAUAAUGAUGAAGACAAUCAAUGGCUCAGUUAAAAUGUAGACAAUUAUUUUUACAAUUCUAAACACUUUUCGAUUUCUAUUAAAUUUCUCCAUGUUUCCGUGAUUUGUUUUUCCUUUUCACCGCACAUAUAAUGAGUGUGCUUUUAAUAGAAGAUUAUUUGGAAAAUUUUUUCCCAAGAAUCAAAAUGUUCACAUUUGAAUUGCUAUUUUUAGGAAUUUUUGUAGAAAAAUGUAAUAUAGUGAUUUUGAUAUAUGUGAGAUAAAAAUGUGAUUGAAAAUUAUGUUCAUGAAAAAUGUAAAAAAAAUUUCUGCAAAAAAUCAGAAUCUAAGUAAGGAAUCCAUCCCCUGAGCAAUUAUUAAAGCAACUUUUGAUAACAUUCCAGUAAUCUCUAAUAGCCUCUUACAACUACUUACAUGCACUCUUUUUCAAUACUGUAUAUGAUGGGAUAGGUUUCCUUUUGGUAUAAACAAUAUAUUUUACUUAAUAUUUUAUCACAAUUACCCUCUAAAGUUAAUUUUCAAACUACUUAAGUUCCUUCUUUUAAUCUACCAUGAUUUUAAAUAUAAUAGUUUUCUAAAUAAAAAGAGUAGUAUUUAUUGAUUUUUGAAAAAAAAAAUACAUACAUACUCUAACAUAGUUCUACAUAUAAUACCUUAUUGUAAAAAAAAAAAUUUAUUAUAUAUUUUUGGAAUAAGCACACUCGUAGAGUGUGCCAAAAGCACUAGUGAAAUAUUAUUCCGGUGUUGAGGCAUUACAUUGUAUUUCAGGGUGAUUUCUCUUUGGGUACGUUUGGUUCCCCAUAGAAUUGGAGUUUAGAAUUGGAAUUGGAGCUCCAAUUUCAAUUCUUGUGUUUGGGUACUAUCUUUCCCGUAGAAUUAUAAUUGAAUUACAAUUCCAAAUCGAUCGAAUUCCAUGAUUCCAAUUCUUUGGCUGGACCAAAGAAUUUCAAUUCCAAUUCCACAACUAAACGGGUCCACGCGCGGAUCUAGUAUGGGUCAAAAAUUAAAAUCGGGUCAAAAGAUAUUGGCACCCCUUUCUUCCCGUCUAACUCACCAUUUUCCUCAGCCGUUAGGGCUCUGCUCUCCACCAUCACUUCCACCUGCAAUCCUAAUACCUUACCUUUCCCACCACCGUCUCCCCCCUGCCUUCCAUUUCUCUGGCGACUUCCUCCAUCCUUCGCCACUCUCGCCACUGUCCACCCCAAAUUUCAAACACAUUUAGGGCUUGUGAGACACCCAGGAAGGAUAAUGCUUGUGAGACACCCAGAGGGAUCGAGAAUUGCUGAACCAAAUUGCACCCAGCAAAGCAAACAAGCCUAGAUCUCUCCAAGUCAUCAUUUCAGGCCUCGAUACUGUUCACCAUAACCAUUCCAGCCUCCGCUCAAACGGGUUAGUCAUGUAUCUGUAUACGUAUAAUCUACGGACCUCUGAAUCCGUUGUUAUUUUCGUUUGAAUCGAUUAGAUUUAAGUAUUCAAGCUUUCAUUUCAUCCGUCAUAUCAGUUCUGAACUAAGAUCGGAAUCGGGAAGUCGUUCGCAUAUUUUUGUAUGUUUUAGAAGUUUGUGUUUGGGAUCGAAUUCGGUUGGAGAUUGAAAGUCAUAAUUGCAAAUUUUUUGUUGGGGCACUUCUAUCCGAGUUCUACUGCCAUAAGAUCUGUGACCGCCUUUUUUCUUUUGCAGUUUUUAUCUGGGCCUCCGUUGGUAUUUCUGGGCACCUCAGUUCAUCUUGAAGCUGCAGAAACUUCCUGGUUUCUUCCCAGAUUCCCAACAAAAAGGCGAAAGAGCUGCUUGGUAAGCGUCUUUAACUCUCCCUAUUUACAUACUUCGCUUAUUUUUCUCCUCCUUUCGCUACUCCUGUCUUGUGAGUUAAAUUAUAUUCAAGUCUCAUCAAAUCUUUCCUUUUGAUGAGACUCAUAGAAGGCUUUAGAAGGAUUCUGAUAUUUCUCGUAGCCAAUUAGUCUUGUUUUCAGAAAGAAAGCUUUGUCGGGACUUUUCUGUUUCUUUCUUUUGUUGCAGUGUGCUGGAAAAUCCUUACCAGUAGAAGCUUUAAGUCACUAGAAUAAGUUUAGGACAUCUCCAAACUAUUUUGUGCACAUAAGUGAUGAUCUUAGCAACAUCUCCAAAUUGCUUUUGCAAAAAGGUUCCGUCCAAAUAAGUCAGCAUAAGUUUUGCAUUUAACAUAUGUAUGGAUUUUUCUGGUGCAUAUUUGCCUCUCACUUUUAGUUCUAUAAUGCAGUGGCUGUUGAAUCUAUUCUUAAGAACAUGACAUUGUGAUGUUUUUCUGGUGCAUAUUUGCCUUAGAUAUGGCAUCUGAAGCAACAUCUCAGUCAAAAGGGAAAGGCAAAGGGUAUUUCACUUGGACUCCUGAAAUGGAUCAUGUAAUGGGCACCUGUUUUAUUGACCAAAUGAACCAAGGAAACAAAUUGGAUGGUAAAUGUGCAUGGAAAACAGUAGCCUACACCGCAGUAAUGAAUGCUUUAUUCGAUAAACUCAAUAUAUCUGUGACAAAGGCUAAUAUUAUAUCUCGUUUCAAGACAUGGGAGAAAUACUAUGACAUCUUAUACCCACUGCUCCAGUCCUGUAACUCUGGGUCUACGAUAAUAUGGGACUACUCUAGAGGUAGAACUGAUGUUCGUGAUGAGGAUGUUUGGAAUGCUCGAGUAAGUGAGAAUCCAAAAAUUCUUCCUUAUAGAAAAAAAUUGUGGUUGAAAAUUGGGAGGAUAUCUGUAUACUGUUUUCACAAGAUCGUGCAAAUGGAGAGGGUGCCCAAACUGUUUUUGAGGCUAAUGUUGAAACUGAAGUUGAAGAGUCUGCUAAUGUAGAGGAAUCAUUUGAGACUGAUUCACGAUCUUUAGAAGAUGAAGUUAUGAAUGCACUGCUAGCUCGACAACGGUCAAAAUCAAAAGCUUCAUCUUCAACAAAUGAUCGUGGCACAAAGAGAAAACUAACGAGCUCUCAAGUACUUUACAAAGUGUUGGGACGAAUGGCAGAUUCACUGGAUAAGUACUUAAAUUCAGAAUGCUCAAAAGUUACAACAAAAAUGGUGGAAGACGAGUUAUCUAAAAUUGAAUUGGAUAGAUUUUAAUUGUUGAAGGGUAUUGACUUACUUAUGAAUGACAGGACAAAGUAUGACACUCUUUCUGGUCUCGGAGAUGACUUAAAAAAGGAUUGGCUAUUGAUGCACAUUGGUAAUUGAUUUUUUUUGGGGUAAUCUCCAGUUGAAGUUGUUUUUGUAGAAGAAGUUGAGCUGAUUGCUGGAAGCCCAAGUAGAGCAAGUUGAAGUUGUUACUACUCCAUCAUGUAUCCAUGACUUUUUAAAUUCUGAUGAGUUCUUUGUUUUUUAUGUAAUGGAUCAAAACAAGAUUAUAGAAAGAUUCGAGGGAGUAUUUCAGCUAUUUUCUAUCUGUUUUUGAGAUGAUAAGAAUGGAACAUUGGAUCUUUUGUCUGAUGAAAUAGCAUUUUUGAUAUUGAGAUUAACAUAGCUGCCUGUGUUGAUGCCCUGACUUGUCCUUUAGCUGCAUGAACCUUUGCAUAUGAGUAUCAACAUGUAUUAAAAGGGUGAUAAAAUAAGCUUUGGCAGUGCUUCGUCUUUUUCAUGCAGUCAGUGGCUCCUUUACUAGCCAUUGGAUCCUUAUUUUUUUGAAUUACUGCUUGUAGUUCGCAAUAAAAAAAAUAGUGUCCAGUGUAACUCAAGCAUGUUGGAUUUUUUUUUCUUUUUGGUCCUUCUACCUUUCUCCACACCCUUUUCCACCAUCAACUGUUAGAUUCAGAAUUCGAAUAGUAAACUGAAUUUAUUUGUUGAGAAUGUUAAAGGCACAAAUUGGUUCUUUCUUUUAAAUCUUUAGUAAAAAUUAGCUAAAUGUAAGAAAAAAAGAAAUUAUUAUAUAAAAAAAGAAAAAAAAAGAAAAAUUUUAUGUAAACAAAUGUUUCAUUGAAAACAAUUCUAAUUCCUAAUGAAUUUUUCUCUCAUACAAACAAAAAAUUUGGAAUUUCAAAUAAAUUCCGUAACAAUUCUAUGCAUUUCCCAAACGAAAGAAUUGAAAUGACUUGGAAUUCCAAUUCAUAGAAUUCCAAUUCUAUAGAAUCUCAAUUCUAAUUCAAUUCUAAUUCUGUAGAACCAAACAUACCCUUUGUGUAAUUGUAGCUAUUGCUAUUUUUUUGGGCUAUAUAGAAUUACUAUUACCUAUGAAAGAAAUUAUGAAAUACUGCCGUCCACAACGAUCUAGUUUAUUGUGACAUAUAUUUCAUUUUUUGACUUGUAUUGCUAUUGAGGUAGACAUUUGCGAUUUUUCCAAUGUAUCCAGAAACCCAGAAGUUUCUUGGCUUGCGAUUUUUCCAAUUUAUCCAGAAACCUAGAAGUUUCUUGGCUUUUCGCUCAAGGAGUACUUCUUGCACAUACUUCUUUGAUUUCUUGCUAGUAAACUUCGUUGUAUAUUCAUGCUAUUUUUUUUUUGCACUAAAUAAAAUUCCUAUUAUCUGUGAAAGAAAAAAGUAUGACACAUUUAUUGCAAUACACAUUGACACCAUCUAAUGUGAUAGAUAUUUCCUUUUUUUGAUAGCAAUUGAGGUAGAUGUUUGCUAUUUUUCUAAUGUGAAGUUUCAUGGCUUUUAUGCUUGAUUUUCAAGAAUUAAUGUCUAAGAUUUUUGUUCCGGUAACUUUAAUGUAGUUGACUGGAGUAUUUAGAAUUCUAGACAGAAGUUGUUUACAUUUUGACUGAGUCAUUGAUUGUUUUCAUCAUAUAAAAUUGAAAUGCACUUCCUCGGUGAUUGUUUUCAUCAUUAUUGUGAAAAAUUGUUAUUGUGGAAAAUUAAAAUGCACUUUUUUGGUGAUUGUCUUUGUCAUUAUUGUGGAAAAUUGUAAUGCACUUUCUCGGAAAAAUUGUAAUGCACUUUCUCGGUGAUUGUCAUUGUCUUUGUCAUUAUUGUGGAAAAUUGUAAUGCACUUUCUCGGUGAUUGUCUUCGUCAUUAUUGUGGAAAAUUGUAUCGCACUUCCUUGGUGAUUGUCUUGAUGAUUAUUGUGAAAAAUUGUAAUGCACUUCCUCGGUGAUUGCCUUCAUCAUAAAUGUGAUUAUUGUGAAAAAUUGUAAUGCAUCACCUACAUUGAACAACGGUAUUUUAAAGAAAUUAAAAGAAAUUAUAAUUUUCUUUAAUUACAAUUUAUCCAAAUAUAUUUGCUUACAUCACCAUUACAAUUUCCAAUAUACCUUUUUAUCUUCCCAAUUACCUUUUUAUCUCACAUGCAUCACAUCACAAAAAGUGCUACAGUAAAAAUAUCUCAAAUAAUUUAUAAUCCAAACACACUAAUUUCAAUUAAAAAAUGAACUAUAAUUUGGAACAGACAGAAAAAGAAAACAAGACUAUCAAAGUGGAAUGAAAUGAGUAAUACACUUUCUGGAUGAUUGUUUUCAUCGUUAUUGUGGAAAAUUGUAAUGCACUUUCUCAGUGAUUGUCUUCAUCAUUAUUGUAGAAAAUUGUUGUUGUGGAAAAUUGUAAUGCACUUUCUCGGUGAUUGUCAUCGUCUUUGUCAUUAUUGUGGAAAAUUGUAAUGCACUUUCUCGAAAAUUGUAAUGCACUUUCUCGGUGAUUGUCAUUGUCUUUGUCGUCAUUGUCUUUGUCAUUAUUGUGGAAAAUUGUAAUGCACUUUCUCGAAAAUUGUAAUGCACUUUUUCGGUGAUUGUCAUCGUCUUUGUCAUUAUUGUGGAAAAUUGUAAUGCAUUUUCUCAAAAAUUGUAAUGCACUUUUUCGAAAAUUGUAAUGCACUUUUUCGGUGAUUGUCAUUGUCUUUGUCAUUAUUGCGGAAAAUUGCAAUGCACUUUCUCGGUGAUUGUUUUCGUUAUUAUUGUGGAAAAUUGUAUUGCACUUCCUUGGUGAUUGUCUUCAUCAUUAUUGUGAAAAAUUGUAAUGCAUUUCUUUGGUAAUUGUCUUUAUCAUUAUCGUGAAAAAUUAUAAUCCUCUUCAUCAAUUGUCCUCAUUAUUAUUGUCAAAAAUUGUAAUGCACUUCCUCGAUGAUUGUCUUCAUCAUUAUUGUGAAAUAUUGUUAUUGUGAAAAAUUGUACUCCCUCUAUUCAAUUUUGAUAGUUCUAUUUUUUUCACACAAUUUAAGAAAAAGUAGUUAACUUUGUUAGAAAAAUAAGUUUAGAUUGCCAUUUUUCUAAAAUACCCUUACAUUAAAUAAAGUACAACUUUAUAUCAAUUAUUCAUGGAAUAUGUAUGGUUAACUAUGAGAAUAUGGAUGGUUUUACAAAUUUUCACUCAUGAUUUGUAGAAAAUGAUGACAUCGUUUGUUUCCCUACUGAUAUAAAUAAAUUUGAAAGAAUAACAAAGUUGGCUUUUCAUAUAUCAAUCUAUUUUGAAAAAUCUAAAUGUGUUAAAUAGAAUAGGUUAACAAUCUAAUAUUAAAAAAGAUAAUUUAUACUAAUAACAACCCACAUUGAAUAAGAAAAUUAAAAGAUAACUAUAUUUUGCAUUUGAAAAAUGAACUACAAUUUGAGACAGACGAAAAAAGAAAACAAAAUUAUCAAAGUAGGACAAAAGAAGUAAUACGAUUUCUCAGUGAUUGUUUUCAUCAUUAUUGUGGAAAAUUGUAAUGCACUUCCUCAGUGAUUGUCAUCAUCAUUAUUGUAGAAAAUUGUUAUUGUGAAAAAUUGUAAUGCACUUUCUCGGUGAUUGUCUACGUCAUUAUUGUGAAAAAUUGUAAUGCACUUCAUCAAUGGCUUAGUCAAGAUGUAGACAACUUCUGUUUACAAUUCUAAACAGUCCUCGGUUUCUAUUAAACUUGGCCAUGUUUCCGUGGUUUUUUUUUAUCCCCCUCUUUCCACCACACAAAUAAUGAGUGUGCUUUGUUUCUAAAACCAAAAAUGCCACAUUUAAGUGACUUGUUUCUAAAAAAUUCAUGUGGGUAUGCUGUGCACCCAUCUGGUCCGGUGGUGAUUCACUCCCCUCCGAGUUACUCCUAAACCUCCUUAAGUCCGCCCCCUCCCCCUUAGUGUAGGAUAGAUUAGGUUUAUCGUCUCCGGAAAAAAAAAAUAAUGAGUAUGCUUUGAUAGAAGAUUAUUUGGAAAAAAUUUUCCCAAAAAUCAGAAUGCUCUUCUUGAAUGCAUCCUGAGCUAUUAUUAAAGCACUUUUGAGUUUUGAUAACAUUCCAAUAAUCCCUAAUGACCUCUCUUGCAGUUUUUUUCUUGCUACUCCUGACAUUGGCUUCCAAAGAUCUUGCCGGAGCUCAACAGCAGGUGGUGUGCCAGUAUUCCACUAUUUCAGCAUCCGAUCAGUCAACUAUAUGGCUCUCACCUUCCAGUCGAUUUGCGUUCGGAUUCUUUCAAGAAGGAUCAGGUUUUAAAGUUGGAAUUUGGUUAGUGGAUAACUCAAAUGAUACUAUUGUUUGGACAGCCACUAGAGAUGAUGCAGCAGUAUCAUCAAAUGCAAUUCUCCAGUUCACCAGUGGAAGGAUCAUGUUGGCAAGCCCUGGGAAUGAGAAUAGGUUUAUUACUCCCGAGCAGAAUGAGCAACCCAAGUGUCCCUCCAUGCUAGACUCUGGAAAUCUUGUUAUUUACAAUGAACAAGAUCAAGUUAUCUGGCGGAGUUUCGACUUCCCUACAGAUACCAUCUUAGAGGACCAAUUUCUGCACCAUGACCAUCGACUAUAUUCUAAUCUUUCUUCAACCAAUCACUCAACUGGAAGAUACAGUCUAGUUGCGCAAUCUGAUGGAAAUCUUGUUGCUUAUCCUGCCAAGGCAGGAGACACUGUUGAAAGUGCCUAUUGGAGUUCUGACACUGACAUGAGUACCCCGCCGCGAAGCCUAUCUACCAACUAGAUAAGAGAACAAUUGGAGUUCUCAAUUGAAUGCCAAGUGUCACUAUAUUGUUAGAGAAAGGAGUUUUUUUCUGGUUUUUUCUACCAAAAAGUGAGAAAUGUCUAUUUCAGGCAUGGUCUUCAAAUGCAAAGUCUUAAUAGUUCCUUACUAUUUUGGGGCUAAUUGGUAACAAUGGUUUAAUUAUUUGCAUUUGUUCCUUUUGUUUGGUUUUUAAUUGAUGUGAAAGGUCAAUUGAAUCCUUUUAUGAAAACUAGCUCAUUAAAUAGUUGCUAACUAUUUAGGGUUAUUUUUGUAUAUUUGAAAAUAUUUCUUUUAUAAUUUUCUGAUCAAGUGCAAAUAAUUGUAAACUAUUUGUGGGCCCUUUUAUCACAUGGGCUGUUUUGAAUUAGAUUAUAUGAUUCAUUAUAUAAUUAAUAUAAAUUAAUGGAGUUAUGUCCGUUAGAAGUAAUGUACUUGGCCGUUAUGACUGAUGUUAAAGUUAGUCAACACCACCUUAAUUGUCUUAUUAGUUAUUGAACUUCCUUCUUUCUUCAUUUAGCCAGAAUUCCCUUCCCCUUCUUUUCUGUCGAAUAGCCUUUUUCUUUCUCUCAAUCGAAUAGGUCGCUAUACCAUAUCGGCCUGCAAAAUUUUCAGUUUCUUACCGAAUCCUUCAACAACUAAAUUGUCCUUCAAUUUGAUUUCAACCCAGAAAAUCCUCCACACGCACGUGAAUUCUUGGCCUGCCCCAAAAAUUAGGUCAGUAAAAUUCCUUUUCCCCAAAAUCUACGGCCCUGCAAAAUCUUCGAUUUUCUGUCAAUUCCUCGAGCAAUUAACUGUACUUCCUUUCGAUUGUCUCUAAAAAAGUCGCCCAAUUGACGUCAAUUCUUCUUUUGCCCCAAAAAACAGUUCACUGAUAUCUCUUUUUCCCCAAAAUCAGCUCAUUUUAGGGAUGCAUGUUCUACCGACGUAUGCUGUGAUGCAGCUUUCAAAAUGGGCUGUAUUCCCAGCCCUAUAUAUACUUUUGUUUCUCAGUUUUGCCGCAGCAGACGAGCGAAGAAAAUCUAGGUAUUUUCUAUUCUCUGUCUUUUUAUUUCAGCCUGCAUUUUUUUACUUUGAUGAAUGUUCUUACCUUCUGUUCAUUUAUUAUUGCCUUCCGUUAAUUAAAGACUGCCAUGUCUUUUAUAUUAUGCAUAAAAGAAUAAUUAUGAUGGUAAUUUUUCGAUUAGCUUACCUUUACUUUUUCCUCUCUUUUUAUAUUCAUUUCAAAUGCUGCCGGACUUUUGCCAACAUUCAGGCGAGCAAAAAAAAUAUAGGUAUGUUUCUGUUUUCUCACCUUCUGAUUUGAACUGCAAUUUUUUCCCAUUGUUGUUGCCUGUGUUUAUUGCUUUCUUUUAAUUAUAAGAAAUGCGAUGUGUUUGAUGUUAUGCUAUGAUGCUUUACUUUUGCCUCUGUUUUUAAUUUCAAAUGUUGCAUGAUGCUGUUAGUUGUUUAUCUAUUCAAUAAUUACAUCAUUUAGUAUCAUUGUACUUCGGGUUAUUAAGGUUGCCAUUUUAUAUAUAUUAGUUAGUUUUAGCUAUUCUAGGAUGCUUUGAUUCUGUCAUUUUGUGUGCCUUUGGUUUAGUAUCUUGCUUUAUUUAUAGUAAAAUUAGGUUUUGAUCUUCUGUGUUUCAAAAUGAAGAAAAAAAGAAAAUUUAGUUCAGGUUUUAGAUUGAUAGAUGAGAUGUUUGAUGAUUCCCUUGAUUUAGCAAUGUUGGAAAGAAACAAAAGGAGAAACUUAAAUAUGCUGACUGAGCAUAUGAAGUUUACUCUUGAUUCUUCUGUUUCUCAACCAUAUUCUCCUAUUGUAAUGAACUGUGAGAAUGACAUCCGUGAAAAGCACUCUGUUGAAACAUGUGCUUCACAAAAUCACAUCGAUAGGAAUGUAAUUCUGCCAAAUGACUGCAGGGGUAAAAAUGUUUACUUACCUCCAAAAAAAACUGGAGAAGUUCAUUAUACCUCUGAUUCUACUGACAAGCAUUGUUUGCCUACAAUGAAUUCAUCUUUAAUCAACCUCUGUGGUGUUGAACCUGCUGCUUUGUCACAAGUGAACUUCAAUGAGGAACCAUUUGUUACAGAAAAUCAGUUUCAGAGUGAACAAGUUGCAAACGUUAAAGAAAUAAUUAGCUAUUCUGAAAUAUCAAAUCUAGAUAUGGAACUAGCUAAUUAUAUUCCUCCCCUUUCUGUGAAUAGCCAUAUACCUAUAAUAGGUAGUACAUCUGUUAUAUCUUAUGAUAAGAACCCUCUUGACUAUUCUGAAAUAUAUCAUGAUAAGAGCCCUCUUGACUAUUCUGAAAUAUAUCAUGAAGGGGUGAUAAAUAAGAAAGCAUAUAGGAGGCAGGCCUACUUUAGAUGGAAACAGAAAAAAUUGAGAGGAAAAUCUAGAUCAAUUGGUCCUUAUGAUAAGAGCCCUCUUGAAUAUUCUGAAAUAUAUCAUGGAGAGGUAAUAAAUAAAAAAGAAUAUAGGAGACUGGCCUACUUUAGAUGGAAAAACAAAAGAUUGAGAGCAAAAUCUAAAUCUAUUGCUUCUACAAAUAUAAUUGAAAAUCGAACAAGCAUCAUGAUUGUGAAUGAGUGUUCCUCAGCUGUUGAUGUUCAGCGUACUUCUCGAUCUCAUUCCAAACAUCGCAGAUCAUCUCUGAAAAAAACUCAACCAGGUCUAUAGUUAAUAUUUUUAAGUUUUCUAAUAUCUGUUUUUAAACUAGCAUUAAAAUCAAUUGAAUGAUUUGACUACUAAGUUCUCUAAAAUAAUUAUAUUUUAGGAAGAGGAUGCAAAACAGGAAGAGCUUUGUUGGAUAUAAUUCCUGACAAAGCUGAUAUCCUACCACGCCAACUAGAUUGUCCUCAUUGUGGAGCGAAGAAGUUUUUUUCUGAGACAGCAUAUUUUUGUUGCCAAGAUGGUGAAGUUAUUUUAGCUCAAAAUAAAAUUCCAGAUAUCUUUAAAGAGCUAUUGACUUCAUCUUCACAAGAGGCACAAUCUUUUAGAGCUCUUAUUAGAACGUAUAAUAAUCAUUUUGGAUUCACUUCCUUCGGUGUUAAAGCUGAUCUGACUCUCUCAAAAAGGAAUAAAGGAAUUUACACUUUUAGAAUUCAAGGACAAAUAUAUCAUUUUCUGAAUGAUUUCAAUUCAACCAAUGAUCAUAGUAAUAAUUUACAGUUAUAUUUCAAUGAUUUUGAAACUGAAGUAAGCAAUCGAUUAGCAGCUUGUCCUAGACUAUCUGAAAGUGUGAUUAGAAAAAUUAUGCAAGUUCUUGAGUCUAAUCCAUAUGCAAAAUUUUUUAGAAAUUUGAGAGAGGUACCUAAUUUAGAUAACUACUACAUUGUGUUAAAAACUCUGCCCGGUGUUGAUCAAAGAGUUUAUAAUAGACCGACAACUUCACAAGUUGCUGGUUUGUGGGUUGAGGGGCAAGAAAAUGGAGAAACCGGCAGGCGUGAUAUUAGAGUUCAUACCCAUAGUGGUGCUUCAAAAAAUAUACAGUACUAUUAUGGAUGUUAUGAUCCACUCCAAUAUCCAAUACUUUUUCCUUUUGGUGAUCUUGGCUGGCACCAAGGAAUACCAAAGAAAGGAGCAAAAGUAUAUGGAAGAAAGAGGAAAAAAAAACAACCUGUAGCAGAUUUGAUUUCCCCUGCAAAUGCUGCUACAGCAGAACAAUUAAUCCAAAAUGAAGAACAUGGUUAGUAUAAUAAAUAUAUGCCAUGAUCUUUCAUUUUACCUAUUUAAUAUUUAUGAUUACACAUUUAAUAAUGUACUAUUAUUUUUUCCACAGCAAUGGAAAACAUACAUGAAGAUCCAAAUUUUGUGUCCCUUCGAGAAUACUAUUGUUAUAAACUUCAGAUUAGGGACAAUGAUGAAUCUUGGCUAUUACAUUUUGCUCGCCUCCUACAACAAUAUAUUGUUGAUCAAUAUGUGAAGCUUGAGACACAAAGACUUGACUUCUAUAGAUUACAACAAGAGGAAAUUAGGAGAGAGUUCUUGAAAGGCAUAAUAGAUGCUUUAGGAUCAGGUGAGAGUCAAGCAUCUAAUGUUGGCCAACGUAUCAUAUUACCGCCAUCAUUUAUUGGAGGGCCGAGAAAUAUGAGACGUAAAUACAUGGAUGCAAUGACAUUAGUACAGAAGUAUGGUAAACCGGAUAUAUUUCUGACCAUGACUUGCAAUCCUAAUUGGCCAGAAAUAAAAGAACACUUAAUAGACAAAGAAGAGGCACAAAACAGACCAGAUUUGCUUGCUAGAGUAUUUCAUGCUAAGUUAGAACAGCUUAGAGAUGAACUUUUGAAAAAAUGCAUCUUCGGUGAAGUGGCAGCUUACACUUAUGUCAUUGAAUACCAAAAACGUGGACUGCCACAUGCACAUUUCUUGCUAAUUUUAAAGUCAAAAUUCAAGAUGUAUACCCCUGAAGAAUAUGAUAAAAUUGUUUGUGCCGAGAUACCAAAUAAAGAGAAAAAUGAACAUCUAUAUAAUUUGGUCAUUAAACAUAUGCUUCAUGGACCAUGUGGUUCACUUGAUCCAACAAAUGUAUGCAUGAGAAAAAAUGGAACUUGCAAGAAUAAUUUUCCUAAAAAUUUCUGUGAGGAAACUAUCCAAACUCUUAAUGCAUAUCCUGAAUAUCGAAGGAGAGAUGAUGGAGUUCAAAUUAAGAUUAAAUCAACUCUUUUAGAUAACAGAUGGGUUGUACCAUACAAUCCAUAUCUUUUGGCUAAAUUUGAUUGUCAUCUUAAUGUUGAAAUAUGCUCUACAAUUAAAGCAGUCAAAUACAUUUACAAGUAUAUCUAUAAAGGUCAUGAUAGAACUAGCUUCUCUGUAGUGAAUAAUAAAUCUGAUUCAGAAAUUGAUGAAAUUAAACAAUAUGUAUCAGCUAGGUGGGUUUCUCCACCUGAGGCAGCAUGGAGAAUUUUUAGAUUCUGUAUGAGUGAAAUAAAGCCACCUAUUAUUCAUUUACAAUUACAUUUGGAGAAUUAUCAGCCAAUGAGUUUCAAAAAAACAGCUAAUCUUCAAAAUGUUGUCGAUAACUAUCAUUUGAAAAAAACAAUGCUCACUGAAUUUUUUUACAUGAAUAGGACAGAUAAAGCAGCUCAGGAUCUAAAUUGUACUUAUGUAGAAUUUCCUGAUCAUUUUGUCUGGUUACCUAAGCAAAAAUACUGGAAAUUGAGAGAAAGAGGUGAAUCAAUAGGUCGAAUAAUGACUGCUCAUCCUUCCGAAGGAGAACGAUACUACUUGAGAUUACUCUUAUCAAAGGUUAGAUGUCCAAUUUCAUUUGAUGACCUAAGAACCUUUAAUGGAGUUCAAGUAGAAACGUUCCAAGAAGCAGCAUUAAUUCGAGGCUUGUUACAAAAUGAUAACAGCCAAGAAAUUUGUUUACAAGAAGCCUCACUUUUUCAUAUGCCCUAUGAAAUGAGGAGACUCUUUGCAACACUUUUGGUUUAUUCUUGCCCUAAUGACCCAAAGGCAUUGUGGCAAAAUUUUGAAUCUUCUAUGUCAGAAGAUUUUGCCAAAUGUUCAGCAAUGACAUCUACACAAGUGAAAAGAAAUGUUUUGCAACAAAUUGAUGGAUUUUUGCAAUCGAUGGGAAAAAGUAUACAUUUGUAUAAUUUGAUUCCCAUUGGAUUCUCUUAUGAAAAUAUAGACAAUGAAACUCGAGAAUUAAGAGCAGAAAGAAACAUUGUCAUUUCAGAUAUUGACUUAAAUUCAAUUGAGCUACUCAAUGAAAAACAGAAAAAAGCAUUCGUAGUCAUAUCUGAGAGAAUUUACUCAGAUAGACCUGGUGUUUUUUUCAUUGACGGUUCAGGUGGUACUGGAAAAACAUUUCUCUAUAGAGCUUUGUUAGCUGAUGUUAGAUCUAAAGGCUAUCUUGCUCUUGCUACAGCUACAUCAGGAAUUGCAGCUUCCAUUUUACCAGGUGGAAGGACUGCACAUUCCAGAUUUAAAAUUCCAAUAGAUAUCUUUGAUGGUGCAACAUGUCGGGUCAGUAAACAAACUUCUUUAGCUGCAAUGAUCAAAGAAGCAAAACUCAUAAUCUGGGAUGAAGCACCAAUGGCUAAAAAGGCAGCAAUUGAAGCUUUAGAUGAUCUCUUAAGAGAUUUAAUGAAUUCAGAAGAAAUAUUUGGGGGAAAGGUAGUUGUACUUGGAGGAGAUUUUAGACAAACAUUGCCAGUUGUUAGAAAAGGAACAAAAGCUGAAAUGAUAAAUGCAUGUUUGAUAAAUUCUCCAUUAUGGCACAAAUUAGAGAAAUUGCAAUUAAUAGAGAACAUGAGAGCAAAAUUAGAUCCUUCAUUCACGCAGUUUCUUUUAAGAAUUGGAGAUGGGACACAAGAAACAAAUGAAAAUGACAUAGUAAAACUUCCAUCUUCAAUUAUAGUUAACUAUAAUAAUGAGACUGAUGCAAUUGAAAAGCUAAUCAAUAUUGUGUAUCCUGAAUUUAAAGAUCCUUCAAACAAACUGUAUUGCUCACAAAAUAGAGCAAUUCUAACUACAAAGAAUAACUUUGUAGAUGAAAUAAAUGAUCAAUUGAUCAAAAAAUUUCCAGGAGAUUUGACUGAGUACCUAAGCUAUGAUGAAACACUGAAUGAAAAUCAUCAAUCUGAAUAUAUUGAUCUUUUGAAUACUCUUACGCCAAGCAAUUUACCUCCACAUAGGUUACUCUUAAAAUCGAAUGCCCCAAUAAUUCUUUUAAGAAAUCUUGAUCCUGCUGAAGGAUUAUGCAAUGGAACUAGACUGAUAAUAAAGAGUUUGAGCAAGAAUGUUAUUUGUGCUAAAAUUGCAGUUGGUGAUUUUUGUGGCAAAGAAGUUUUUAUACAUAGAAUUUCCUUGCAGCCACCAAGUGAUGAACAAUAUCCAGUUCCAUAUAAGAGAACACAAUUUCCAAUUCGUUUGUGCUUUGCAAUGACAAUAAAUAAAGCACAAGGCCAAACUUUAGAUUUUGUUGGUAUUUAUUUGAAAGAACCUGUAUUUUCACAUGGCCAAUUAUAUGUUGCACUUUCAAGAGCCAAAACAGCUUCGGCUGUAAAAGUACUUAUUAGGCCAGCUUAUUUUGAUGAAUCAUGCACUGAUCAUACUAAAAAUAUAGUAUAUAAAGAAGUUCUCGAAGCUUCCCAGAUUGUAUUAUCAGGUUUUAAUAUUCAUGCCCUUUUUUUCAACUUUAUUAUUUUGUUUAAUUCACUAUCUAAUUUCUGUACAAAUACAGCCCAUCAUGCCUAGACAUAUAUCUUCCAUACUAAACAUUCAGAAAGGAGCAGAAAAGUGGACUGUUCUGGCACAAGUUGUUCACAGAGGCCACAGUCAAUUAACUCGUGAAGUUCCACCUAGGCGAAUUAUGCGUUUUCUGCUCACAGAUACUGAGGUCAGCAAUUCUUUCCUAUCUCUCUGGUCAUUAAUUAAAUUCAUAGAUGAGAAUAUUUUAGAUUCUGUAAACGAACAUUUUAUGAUUUGCCUCUUCAUUACCACAUGGUUGAAAACUUGCUGAAGCUGAGAAUAAGGAUGAUUAGCACCACUUUUGACAUAGUAAUCAGUGAAUUUAGAACUCUGACAUCUUACUUAUAUCAACCUGCUCCUGAAGGGAAUCUUGCUGUUCAUUAAGUUUUUCUAUCCAGCUAGCAAGUAGGCUUUGUUGGUCCAGAAGAAAAAGAAGAAUGUUCUCAAUCUGUGACAUCAAAAAAAAAAAAGAGUAUCUGGUCAAGAGUAGCUCCUGCUCCAUGAACUUCCUUCGAACCCCCCCCCCACAAAAAAAAAACCCAAUAAUAUGGGAAUAACCUCCUUAUCAGCAUAUUUAGAUACAUGUUUGUUAUCAAGUGUUGGUUACCUUAUACUGAAGUUAUUCUAGCAUUACAAACCUUUGUUAUGAGCAUAUCACAAACAUAUACAUAUGCAAUUCCAGUUUACCCUGUUACAUUAUUGCUUAUUACAUCUCACAAAAAACACACACACUAAACAGAUAAUGAAAUUGUAAAAGCUUAAGGGGAGGAAAAAUUGCAUAUUUCUGCUGGUCAUCAAGACAGGCUGUACCAGACAGCAUGUGGGAGUAUAAUAUGUUAAUUAUCUAAAUUUGCACAGGACUAAUGAACUGGAACAAUUGACAUACUUAUGGCAGUUAACCUUUUCAUCUAUACGAACCAUAGUUUCAUCUACUGAUAUCAGAACUAUAGUUUGAUUACAAGUGAAUACUCGCCUAACUAUUAAAGUAUUCAUUUCUAUAAUUUUAAUUUCUGUGUCAUAAAUAUAAUGUUAGCCAAAAACAUUAUAGUUAUAGCUAUAACUCAUAAUAUAUAUAUAACUAACUUUUCCUAAUCCUAAUCAGGGAACAAAAGUUUCUGUUGUGACUUAUGAACAACACAUCAAGACCUUCAGCAAAUUUCUGCAGCCUUAUCAACGAUAUUAUGUUUCUAAUGCAAUUGUGGUUCCUGCUGACCCAACAUACAGAGUUGGGACUUAUGAAUGCUCCUGGAUUUUGAACUACAAGACUUUGAUUGAAAAUUAUGCUGAACCUGUGCCACCUAUGUUGCCUUGCAUAUUUGAGCUGACAAACUUCUCUGAUCUGCACAAAUAUGCUGAUUCAGAUAACCUUUGCAGUAAUUUUUGUUACAUUAUUUUUUAAUUUACUUGACAGUCAUUUGACAUUUUAUUGAUUUCUUACAUUCAUAUCAACACUUUUGUUUCAGAUAUUAGAGGCUUUGUCAUUCACGCAUUCCCAAUAAAGCAGCUAGAUCCAGAUUCUAUUUCUAGAGACAUUAUAAUAGUGAAUGAAGAGUAAUCAAACCUGAAUACUACUAUUUUAUUAACUCAUUUUAGAUUAAUGGCAGUAGUUAUAAUUUAUUUGUUAUACCUGACAGGAAGAAACUCAUGCUUAUGACUCUCUGGAAUGAAUUUGAACAUGAUGAAGGGAGCAAAAUAGCAGACAUGAUUAGCACUGCCCCUCUAAUCAUAGCUCUCCGUGUUAAAGUGACCACAUUCAAUAGUAAAUUUUUCAUUAUGCAUUAUGAUUUCUUUAUUGUGUGUCUUUUAAGUACUUAAUGUUAUAAUUACUAAACCAUUUCAUCAUUUUUACAGCUUUGUCAUUCACUACAAGGUAUUCAUCUGGAAUUCUGAUCAGUCCUCCACUCCCAGAUGAGCUAUCUUUGAGGCAAUGGUAAGUAUAAUUUUCUUUUUAGUUUUUUCCAUAAAUUAUCAACUUAUUUUACUGAUAAAUUUUGUAUUUGUCCUCUGAACAUAAUCAUUCAGGUUCAGCUUGAACAAGGAAGAAAUCAGGAAUUUGCUUGAUGCUAAAACAUACAAUGAUGCAAGCUAUUUACUUCCUCCUCCAAAUGAAGAAGAUAUCAAAGCAAUCAGCAAUUUUCAGGCAUCAUUUCCAGUUGUAAGUACUAUAUUGUUAUUCUACAAUUUUGCUUAAAUAUAACUAUUUAUUAUCUAAUUCACAUUCAAAUACCAUUCACGGUUGCCUGCCUCAGCAAAAGGCAGCUUGGGUGCAAGGAACUGUCAAACUUGCAUAUGGAUUCAGCAAAUAUUGGACUACAGCUUGUGCGAAUUGUCACAAAAUUGUGAAUGCUGACAUUGACUGGAUCAUCCACUGUCCUUCAUGCAAACAGCAAACUGAAGUUGAACUCAGGUUAGAUCAUUAACUUAUGCUUCUAAAUUAAAUAUUAUUCGCAUUUGUUGCCAUAUAUUAAUCUUAAUUCCUCCACUCAAUUAAAGGGCUCGCAUUCCAAUUAUUAUAACUGAUGCUUCGAGCUCAAUACACUGCAUUAUAUCUGGAGAAGAUGCUGGAAAAUUGAUUGAGUUCACUCCAUUGCAGCUUAAACAAGCACAAGAAGAUGUAAGUAUGAAUUUUCUGUCUUAUAUUCAGGCAUAAAUACAUAUAUACAUAGAAAGGAAUUCACUGAACCUAACUAAAAAAAUUUUCUGGUGCAGGGCUUUCAAAUAGAUACUGAACUUAAUGAUGCUUUGAAAAAGUACACAGUGGUCUGUUUUCUGAAAUCCUAUGAGACUCCUUUCCAAGGUCAACUGCAGAGAAAGAAUACUGUCAUCAAAGCUUAUACUGCAGCUGAACUAUCAGACCGUCCCCUUCCUCUAGAACUUCCAGAAAACACUCAAGUUUUUUCUGAACUUGGCAGUUCAUCAGCAAGGCAUGCAGAAACAUCAUCAAAAGAUCAAUUGUUCACACCAAGCACAAAGUUGGUACUUGAAGAAAUUGCUGGAGCCAGUUCUUACAAAGACAGCCAGACAUCUGCAACCAGUGGAGCAAAAAGAAGCCUUGAAUUUCCAGAAGAUUUACCAGCAGACACAGAUCCUAAACAACCAACAAAGGCUGCUGAAGAGUUUGCCAAAGAACCUGCAAAAUCGUAUGGUCCACCUGCAAAUAUCAAAGACAGUCCAGCCAAGAAACCUAAAGCAAAGGAAGACUGAUAUGCCUGAUUUCUGCACUUUUGUUAUAUCUUUUGUUCAUUGCCUUGAUGACUAUCUUGAUUGCUUAGACAAUGCCUUUUGAAUUAUAUUAUGAUCCAUUAUUCUUUUGACUUAGAAAGUAAUGGAUCCUAAUAUAUUUAUGAAUGGUUUAACCAUCAAUGUUGUAACUCAAUAGGCAAUGAAGCCUAUUAAAACCCCCUAAUAUGUAACUGUGGGUUGAACUGAAGUGUGUGUUUUGCUAAGACAUGAAUGUUUGAGUUUAUGUAAUCUAUGGUUGUGAUUUGCAUAUUCAUUGUUUACCUCUUCAUUUUUCAGUUGGUCAUAUCAUAUAUAUACAUAUAUGAUCCUGAUUGCCCAGCUGUGAUUAAGUUGUUUGAUCAUAUCAGUGGGUAGGCCGUGCAAUGCACGGCCAGAAUCAUGCUAGUACCUCAAUAGCAGUGGCGCAUUUUUGCUGGUUAAUGACACGAAUUUAUCAACAGUCAGUAACAAGGACUUGUCUAUAAUCAGCUUCAAUUCAUCUUUGCAACAAGACAAUGUAAUCUUGCGAUUAAACCUUGGUUUUGAUGGAAAUUUAGUCUUGUAUUCUCAUUCCCUGAAUACAACCAACAAAUCAACAACUGUGGUGUGGCAAGCAAUUGAUGAUUUGUGUGAUGUGAGCAGUUUUUGUGGUGUCAACGCCUAUUGCACCAGGUCCAACAAUCAAUCCCAUUGCAAUUGUCUACCAGGUACCGAGAAGGUAGCAGAUUUCCCCAGUGGCUGUCAAAGGAACUCCACUGGAGCAGUGUGCAUUGGGGGGAAAGAAUACGGUGACAUUUACGACUUUACAGCUCUGAAAGAUCUCAGGUUCAAAGAUGUCCCUUACUUUGCAAAGAUGUUAGGGAAAGAAGAAUGCCUUCAAUCUUGCUUGGAGGACUGUGAUUGUGAUGCGGCAUUUUUUGACGAGUCACAGGACUUAUGUCAGAAAUAUGCUCUUCCAUUAAGCUACAGUAGGAUUGAUAGUAUUAAUACUAAUGUCUCAAUCUCAGCUUUUUUCAAAGUGAAGAAAAUCAAUGGAGGAGCAAGAGAUGGAUAUGUUAAACCCCCGUGGACGCUGAUUCUUGGCUUAAGUUUAGGAUCUUUUGCCUAUUCAAGCGCUGCUCUUGCCCUCUCUGGCAUUUUCAUAUUCAAAUUCCGCCUUAUGAAGUACAAGAAGCUUUUGGACACAGGAAGAACUGGCUUGACUAAGGAAUUCACCAUUGGAGUAUUCACUUAUAAUGAGCUGAAGAGGGCAACUAACGGCUUUAAGAAAGAGAAAGAGUUAGGAAAGGGCUCUUUUGGGGCAGUCUAUAAAGGAACUUUUGACAAUAGAAGCUUUGUGGCAGUAAAAAGAUUGGAGAAGGUAGUUGAGGAGGGCGAGAGGGAGUUCAAAGCAGAAAUGAGGGUGAUUGGCAGAGCUCGUCACAAAAAUUUGGUUCGUUUGCUUGGCUUCUGCGCCGAGGGCUCCAAGAGGCUUUUGGUAUACGAAUACAUGAGCCAUGGUUCCCUCGCAGAUCUUCUCUUCCGGACAAAGGGGCGCCUAGACUGGAAUGAGAGAGUCAGGAUAGCACUUGACGUUGCAAGAGGGAUCUGCUAUCUCCACCAGGGAUGUGAAGCUCCUAUAAUACAUUGUGACAUAAAGCCUCAGAACAUUUUGCUUGAUGAAUCCUGGACAGCUAAAAUCAGUGACUUCGGCUUGGCUAAGUUGCUCCAACCGGAUCAAACAAGAACCUUCACAGGAGAAAGGGGAACAUUGGGAUACAUGGCACCAGAAUGGAAGACAAAAACUGCCAUCACUCUGAAGGUUGAUAUCUAUAGUUAUGGGAUUGUUUUGCUGGAAAUUAUAUGCCGCAGAAGACACAUUCAAGUCAAUUUAUCACGACCAGAAGAAACUCACCUACCAUCCUGGGCUUAUAACUGCUUUGCAGCCAGGGAGCUGGACAAACUUAUGGAUGAUGAUUCUACGGAUAAGAAUGCAUUCGAGAGAAUGGUCCUGGUGGCACUAUGGUGUAUUCAAGAUGAACCAGCUCUUCGCCCAUCAUUGAAGAAUAUUAUCUCAAUGUUGGAAGGGAUAACUGAUGUGAGUAUUCCCCCAUGUCCAAUGUCUUAACAGCUUGUAAAGUCCAGAUCAAAAUUUAAUCGACAACAUCCCGGUCAGAAUCCUUUUUCUCAAUGUUUUGGUGAAUUGGCUUGAUGAAAUUCCUACUGUGUUGUCCUCCUUUAUCAGUUCCCUGCGGUAGCUAUUAUUGUUUCCACAAAUUUGUGAAGACGUGUAUGUAAGGCAAGUAUAACUUGUUUACUUCAGUUUUUUGCUCAUAUUGUGAUUGUUUACACACUUGUUGGCAGCACUUAACGAAACCAGUUGCUGGCCCUCUUAUCCUUUUUAAUUUAAGAACAUCAGUGUUAUCUGUGCACUGAAUUAAUUGAUGAAACAUCGAGCCAAAUCCUAGGCUGAGAAAUUUUGGUCAAAUAAUGCCCAGAAAAUGUACAAAACCACAGAAUCCCAAUGCACCAGGGGAAAAUAGAGAUGAACAUUGAGGGAAGAGGGUCUAGCAGAAAAGAAAAGAAAAAACUUUCUGAAUUUGGACAUGAUAAAAUGGUCUAGCCAGAACUAUGACCAACUCAAAGGUUUGAAAUGAUUCAGCAGAAUUUGAUCUUUUAUUCCAACCUUCAAAAGUAUGAAAAAGCUUAUGCUAAAACUCAAUCAGCAAUCAGCAAGAGGGAACAAAGAGAAAAUAUAAAGAAACAAUCCACUACUGGAAAGCCACAACAGAAUGACCAUGUAAUGAAGCAUUAAAUUAAUCAUAAUAGAGUUAAACGACACAACACCAUCAUCCAAGAACAAUGGAAAACAAAUUCUAUAGAUGCCAAUAGCACCAAAUUAUCACAACAACGUAUCAGUCCUACUAAGAUUGUAGCAAAAAUAAAGGCUAAUCAAAAGAGCAAUAUGACAUUGGCCUUAAUCUGACUCCGCAUCCUGAUAUCGCUGUAGGAUUUGUGGGCAUCUAG
This 44869-nucleotide long non-coding RNA is filed under the name Coffea arabica (coffee). RNAcentral's name for it is "long non-coding RNA (CARA_LNC004958)". Lineage: Eukaryota; Viridiplantae; Streptophyta; Magnoliopsida; Gentianales; Rubiaceae. The record is from RNAcentral.